Molecule: long non-coding RNA, 47584 nt
Filed under: Panax ginseng (ginseng)
Lineage: Eukaryota; Viridiplantae; Streptophyta; Magnoliopsida; Apiales; Araliaceae
Description: long non-coding RNA (PGIN_LNC000341)
Source: RNAcentral
UUCUCAUUGCCUCUCCCUUAUAAAUUACUCCAAAUACAAACAAAACCCUCAUUAUCGCAAUUCCCCAAAUAAUAGUUUCGGCGAAAAAAUCUCUCAUAGCGUUUAGAAUCAAUCCAGAAGAAAAUUAUCUUAAAUUAGGGUUGUGGUUGAUUGUAAUAGCAAACAAGAAUCAAAAAUAUGGUAGCAAAAGCUGAUAUCGCCGUUUCGAUUGGUCUAGGGUUCUUCCACGUCUCCACGCCGUUGACAUCUAAGGGUUUUCUUGAUGCUCGCUUCUGAAUCUGUGUCCAUCAAAAUCGCUCGUUCUGAAUCGGUAUGUUUUUAGUUUUUUAUCCCUCUUUUAUGUGAUUAUGAAUUGGGUUUCGAGUAUGAUAUCUAUUAUCUAGAUUAAUACAUUUAAGACUUAGGAUUUUUGUAUCCGUUGUUAUUGACUUGGAUUUGGUGAUUAAUUUGAUCGAUUGAUAUGGAUUAUUGGCUUUUCACGUGUGUGUUAACAUCUGGGUAUUGGUUGGGGUGAAAUUGAUGUUGCCUUUGCAAAUUUAGAGUUUAUUGGCUUACCCUAUUUUUUUUGGAAUGGGUGUAGCUUGAUUAUCAAGAAUCUACUUUUCUUUUAUUUAUAUAAAUUAUUUUAACUGAUUGUUUUACCUUUUACUGAAACAUUUGAUUUUAGGAACCUUGCUUUCCUAUGUUCAAGAGUGUUAAAUGACGCAGAAGGUGCAAGCUUCACUUAAUAUCAUGCAUUUGGAUGAGUACAAUCUUUGAGCAAGAACAGAGUAAAUCAAGUAAUGUGUUCGUUUUAUGUUUACAUCAUAUUUUGAAUUUACGCUGUCUAGUGAUAGCCAAUUUGAUAGUUACAUGUUUAAAUUAUGUUAAGUUUUGUUUAUUAUUGCCUUUAAACUUGCAGAUUAUGAUGCAACUGAUACUCUUUGGAAGUUGGAAUGUUGUAUUUUUGUUUGUACACUUAGUUACUUUAAGUUACUCCGUUAUUUUACUGAAUUAUGUUUUUCUUUUGCAACAGUUUUGAGAUAUACUUGAACAACAAGCAAAUGUCUGGGUAAGUUGAUAUCACUUCUUAAAACUAAUAGCAAUUAUUUUUUUAUUAUUUAUACUUGUUGUCUUUAUUAUCAGACUUCUGUUUGUUGCUUGGUGAAACUAUUAUUCUGUCUUUAAUCUUUCCUAUAAUUUAUCAGUGAUUAAACGGAGUACAAUGGUUGAUUGGUAUUAAACUUAACAAUGGCUUUAAACUUAACAGGUUCUCUUAUUACUCUUGGUUUUGUGCAAAUAUCUAACCAAUUUUUUUUUUGAAAUUCAUAUGAACUUUAUUUCACUUUAUCAAGAUCCAUUUACUUCAUAAGUUUGUAUCAGUGAAUCUUUUGAGUUACUAUUGCACUGACCUAGAUUUGUACCUUUACUGUGUCUGAAUGAAAAAUUGGGCGGCCAUCUUACAGGUUUGAGAAUGAAAAAAUCGAGAUUUGGUAAUUUAAUUUUAAUAUUUAUUGAAUUGAAUAAAUAUUUUUCGAUGAAUUAAUUAUUAGAUUAAAUAAUUAAUUGAUGAAAUUGUGGUAGAUUAAUUUAAUUAUAUGUGUUAUAUUUAUUAAAUUAAUGUGGAGAAUUUUUUAUUAUUCGAAGUAUGUAAUUAUGUGAGCUUAUUGUAAUAAAAGAAAUAUUUAAUAAGCCUAAUAGUAUUUUAAUUAAUUUAAUAAUUAAUUAGAGAUUUAAUAAUUUGACAUUAUUAAUAAAUGAGAAAUUUAAUUAUGUGACUAUGUGGAUUUAUGAGAAAUUAUUAUAUGUUAUUUAAUUAAAUUAAAUAAGAUAUUGACUUUAUUUUAUAAAGUAGUGUGAUAUUAUUUAAACUAUUUUAUAAAGGUUUAAUUAAAUUAAUUGGAUAUAAGCCUUUAAGGCUAACCAAACGAGGCCUUAAGAGGAGUUGAGGGCAGUUAAACCACGUAUGGAGUAACUGACCUCAACUCUGCGCAUAAAGGGUCAGUUGCUUUGUUUUACGUAUUUUGCUAUUAAGUGUUCAAACUGAGAGUCAGAGAAUUUAGAGAGAGUUCAGAGAGAAUUCAGAGGAAUUGUGGGAGAAAACUCUGUGAUUGAAGUAGUAUCUGAAAAGGGAUUGUUAUCUUUACUCACUCUACGCUCUGGGUAAUUCUCUCCAACCCAAUUCUCAUUUUUUUUUCGUCAUUAAGCUUUCAUGAAAAUGGUUUCCAAUCUCUUUGUUAAAUCUCUGUAAAUGGGAAAUUGUGUUGUUAUAUGGAUAUAUGUAAUAAUAUGAUUAGCAUAACAUGUUUAAUUAUAUAUUAUAUAGGUUUCCAUAUCAUCAGUUUCAUAAUAUUAAUGUAUGUUAUGGCUUCAAAAGUAACAGAGUAUAGAAUAUGGCCAUGUGGCCCUUAUACGUGAUUUUAAUAUGUCAAACAUAAUUUUUUUUUGUAAAAUUUUCACUUGUAUAUAAUUAUGCAUGCUAAAAUGAAGAAAACAAAAUUUGAAUGGAUGGAUUUGGUGUUAUAACAAAUCUGUAGUGUUAAAAUUUUAUGUUUUUGUUCAAAACCUUCAAGAACACCAAGAACAAUGAAAUUCGCAUGUUUUAAUUUUGUAAUUAUGUGUUUUAAUUGGUUAAAAUCACUCUAUAAAUGUUGGGUAAUGAUUAUAUACGAAUUAUAACAUGUGGGUAUGUUUAAUCUGGUGAAUUCAAUGACCAUGUAAUGUUAAAUCCGCUUGUUUCUGUGUUCUUCGCGAACUAGAAAUUCAGAAAUUGGAGUUUCGCGCCGCGGUGCCAACUCCAGGCCUAAGACUCGCGCCGCAGUACCAAGACCUAGUAUAACAGUGGCGCCGCAGCGCCACUUAACAGAAUGGUCCAAAAAUGAGUUUUUAACAUGUUUAAAUUUAGCAAUGUGUUGGUAACUUAAUCUAAUUAACAUAAAAACUUGUUAGACAUAUAAUGAGGUGUUAAAAUAAAUUCUUAGCAUGUCAAUAACACAUGUACGUGAGAAUUGAAUGAUUGAAUGCAUAGUUAGCUUAUUGUUCAUGAAGUGUUAAUUGUGACAAUGAGUGUAAUAAUUUGACUAAGUAUAGUCAUGAAUUUGAGUUAGACAAAAAGAAUGAACUUGUGAUGACUAGUACGUUAUAAUUGACUGGUAUUGUGAACGUAAAUGAUAUGUAGGAUUUAAAUCAAGGAACGAGUUUAAUUAACGUGUAAUCUACGCACAAGGCAAGUUUCCUAACCUUACUCGUUAUCUUUAUAUGAGCUUAUAAGUUAUCUCUUUACAUCGAGCAAAUUCUCGUUAUUAUUGAUCAAGUCCAUUUUAUUAUAUUAAAAUGUAUUAAUCUUUCAAAGUAUGAUUCUGUUAUACAAUAAUUAUUCUAUUGUAUACCUUUUGAGAUUGCUAUUCAAUUUUAAAUUAUCAGUUACUGUUGAACUUUGUUAGACUAGUGAACCCUUAAUGAUUCGACUAGUCCAUAGUUGAUGAGCGUUCUAAAUUUCAGAACCCUUGAUGAAUUAUCCAAACCAAACUUCCUUUGGUGCGGACUCUAAUGUCAAACUGAGAUGAACAACCCUGUAUAGGGGAUUACUUAUGCGUUAGCGUUAAGAUAUUGUGCACAGUAUGGUACUAAGGGCUGAUCCCCCUAAGUACGAGAAGAAGAGUCCAUAGUCUUAUGACUGUUAAAGGUUUCAAGUAUAAACACUUGACAACCUAGGACAUAGUUCAAGGUCUUAUGACCCUCAGAAGUUCUUUUAUUUCUUGUUAUUCAUUCCUGAUUCAAAAGUUGAGUUUCCUAUUUCAGAAGUCUUUGAUUUAUUCAAAUAUUAUUAUUCAUUUGUUAUAUUAUUAUACUUGUGGGCAAUCGUGCUCACUCUUGCGUAAUAAUAACAUUGCAGUUAAGAACGAAAGAUCAGACGAGCCUUCCACUAGUAAAGGCAAGGGCAAGAUUAACAAGUAAUGAAGACUGGUUAUUUAUGUGUUUAUGUAAUGAUAUUCAGGAUUUAUAUUAUUUAAAGACUUAUUAUUUGUUUAUGAUUCCGCACAGAUGUUUAAGGUUAGAGCAACCUGGGAUUUUAUUAUUAUGCAGUUAAUGUAACCCCAUAAGGGGAGAUUUAUUUAUUAUUUCUAUCUAUUGCAUGGUUUGCAUUUAUUUAUGGGUAGAUAGAUAGAUGAUAUUUGUACAGUGAACACCAAAUCCUGUGGAAAUGGAAGUACCGGAUUUGGGGGUGUCACAGGUUGGUAUCAAAGCUGUAGGUUAUGAACCUUAGGUGGGGAAACAACCUUAGGUAGUAGCCUUGUAAGAGAUUGAGAACAUAGUAGUGGUAAACUCUUAUCGAGUUAUAAGAAAUGAAUUUCUAAAUUCAUUGAAGAUAAUAAAAGAUUUUAUGUGCUUAUGUGUUAAUCUAUGUGUUCGCUAGCACGGAUUAGUAACUAAAACUUAAAUUUUGUUGUCAGGAUGUCGGAUGUUAGAGGAGCUAGUCGAUCUGGGGAGGAGGAACCCGGAGUACCUACAGAGGAGGAGCCCCGAGACAUUCAUGUCAUCAGGGAACAGUUGGUACAGAGAAAGCCAUCUCCGUUGAUCACUGUUGUUGGUCGGGAGCAUGAGCCUGAGACCGAUCUAGAGGAGGAUUCUGAUGAAGAAGAGGAGGAAGAGGAGUUCCCACAGAACUCCAUUGAUGCUGAGAUGUAUGAUGCACUUUAUGAUCGUAACAUAGAGUUGCAAGACACUGUUCAGGAGCUGGGGAAAGGACUGUUAUGCAGCAGAGUACCAUCGAGCAGAAGGAUGGGGAAAUUGUGACUCUUCACACACGUUUGGGAAACAUGGAGUGAGAUUUGGUUCACGAGAAGGGUCAAAUUGAGGAGAAGAACGAAGAAAUAGAGAAGUUGAAGAAAGAUCUGAAAGAGAGCUCAGAAAGACUGGCAUUAGCAGAGGAGGGCUGGGUAAGAGAGUCACGUCGUGCUGAUCUUGCUGAAGAGGAUUGUCGUGUAAAGAAGGCUAAGCUUGGGGAGACGUACUCUACACUUCACAAUGCAAUGGAUGCAAAGAUGAAUUGUUAAUGAAUAUCUUUGGCUCGUAGUGCAAAGAUGAAUUUAUUAGUAUGAUUAUGAAUAAGAAUUAUGAUUUGGUAUAACCAUGAUUUUGAUGUUUCAGGUAAAGACAGAUGAUGAAAAUUAUCUUCGUCCUGGGUGCGAAGAGGAAUUUAGAAUAACAAUUAUGAUUAUAAGUUAUUCACAUGAUUGUGGAUAGGAAUUGUUGAUUGAUGUUACAGGGAUAAAACAUUAUUGAUGGACUUUUAACAUGGAGAAGAUAAUAGACCCUAUGGUCUAUUUGACUCUUCUAAUGGAUUGUUCGUUCCGCUGCAACUAUGGUUGAAAAGUUUUAUCAUGUAUCAUAUGUUCUAAAUCUCUGAUUUAUUAUUGACGAAAGCUAUUGAUAAUUUAAUUAUCUUUAGUCAUGAUAUUCUUUACUGGGCUAGUUGUGCUCACCCUUUUGCUUCACAAUUCCUUUCAGGUAAUAAGAGUGUUGCCGAGUCGAGCGGGGAUAACAGGGGAAUAGAACGGUGGUCUAUAGCUGUUGAAGUUCUCCCUAAAUAGGAUGGAAAUAAUUUUAUUAAGAACUUUAGAUAAGGGUGUCAUAUUGUAUACGUCAUUUGAUAUUUAAUUUUGGUGAACCGAAUAGGGUGAGGUGAACCCAACUUUGGAAGGGCGUUUUUUCCACUAUCAUACAAGAUGUCUAAUGAUAGACGACUUCGUGUUAUCAUAAGACAAGGUUGUGCACAUCCACUUGCUGAGUAUAUCUACGAGCACUACCUAUAUAAUCUUGGAGUUUAUUUGAAAUAUAAUUCUCACUUGGAGACAACGGAGAUAAUUAUAUGUCAAGAGAAGACUUACCAUUGGAAAGAAGAUUAUAGCAAUCUUUUUGUUUUUCUUUGAGGACUAUUGGUCAACCAAGGAUAAUUCUAUGGACAUAUGAUAUCUAUCAUAACCUAGACGCAUGGCCUCCCAUGUACGGAGGUUUACUUGAGCACUUCCCAAAUAUUUUAAUUUCUAAAACAGUUUUUGACUGUACUUUUAUGUAAAGUACAAUUGUAAGGUUGUGAUUGAGGCACCAUGAGAGUUACAUACAUUUGUAUUAAAACUCACAGUUUAACUGUGGUCGUAUUCUGCACGACAGUUCAAUAGUUGUAUAAAUGAAGUUUGUAUUUGAUUUUUAUAGUAUGAUAUCUGGCGACUCAGAAUGGGUCGUGUGGACCUAUUUUGGGGGCGUCACAAAUGGUAUCAGAGCUUAGGGAUAUGGUCGUUGGCGGAGAUAAGAGUCUAGAACUAGGAGGGGAGAGACGAGUUAUAUACUUCGCUAGUGUGUGACUUACCUAAGCUGAAAUUGUUUACUUGAUAAGUUGACAAAUUGUGAUAUGUCAAUUAACCUUUGUUUUGAAGAUAUAUUCUAGAAUGAUAUCUGAAAUAUAGGAGAUGAGCAAUGGGAAAAUCAUGAUACAGAGGAUAUAACCGGGAAGGUACAAUCCAAAAAGAAAGCAAGGUAUUCUCAUCUCUUCGAAUACCAGGUACGUACAUAAAUUUCAAGGGCGAAAUUUCAUAAGGAGGGGAGAUUGUAAGACCCCGAUUUUUAUGAAAUGAAAGUAUUCAAUUUUCUUAUAAUUAUUAUGUUUAGUAAAUGGUUAAACUUAGAAAAGGUUAAAGUUAAGGGUGAUAUGUGAAAUUUUUUCAAAGUAAGCAAGUUGUCAUAAAAUAAUCGGUGGUAAAAAUAUAGUAAUACGCGUGGUUGCAUAGUAGCACACAGUAUUGAUUAUUGAUGCUUACGUGAAAAGUCACUCAGUUUUAUUCAAUUAUUGUCAUAAUAUUUUAUAUUAUUAAAUCAAUAAUUGAGACAGCAAAGUUAUUCAUAUUAUUAUUUGCAAUAUUGACAAUGUCUAGAAGUUCUGUCAAAGAGAGGUUUGGUCAUCUAAUUGUGCGCCAAUAAGGAGAAAUCUUUAUCGGAAAGCCCCCUCUUUCCUAGGAACGACCUGGUUGUUAAAUAUUGCGAAUUAUAAUAAUAAUGAAUAAAUGUUAUUAAAAAUCGAAUUUGAGUUCGGAGUUGAAUUUAGAGACGCGGACGUGAUAUUUGAGUCCAGAACGAUGGAAUUAGUAAAAAUAAACGGUAAACACAAAAUUUUUCGGGGUUAACUUUUUGGUCAAAAAGUCAACUGUUGAUUUUUUUAGAAAAAGUCAAACUUCAAAUUUUCAAAAAUAAAAUUUUUGAUAAAAAUAGUUCCAUUGUGUUGGAAUUAUUAAUAUUAGUGGAAAUCGACAUUUAUUUCGAUAUUAAUUGAUGUCUGGAGGUUAUAUUGACCAAUCGGGUAAUUCACUGGAUAAAUGAGCAAUUAAUUGUUAUUAAUUCACAUGAUUAUAACUAUUUGUUCACAUGUAUGUACUAUUGAUUCACAUUCUUGUACUAUUAGGGGAGUUGGUGCAAGAUUGAUAAUACUUGUAUGACUUAGUUAAAAAUGAAGGAAUAAAUGGAGGUACUAUAUUGUAAUUCGUAUUUUCACAUGAUUAUAACUAUUUAUUCACAUGAUUGAACUAUUGAUUCACAUUAUUUACUAUUAGGGGAAGUGGUGCAAGUUUGAUAAUACUUGCAGGACUAAAUUAAAAAUGAAAGAAAAGUUGAAGGUAUUGUACUGUAAUAUUUUGAGCCCCAAAACGUGCAAUUAUCGAAACUAUAUUUUCCUAUAAAUAGAAGCUCAUUCUUCCUUCAUUUCUCACCAAUUCACUAAAGCUAUAGAGCAAUUAUUAUAGAGAGAAAUUAUAGAGAGAAAGAAGAAAAGAAGUUUUCUACCUCACUAUUCCAGUAUCCAGUCUUCUUUUGAGGUAAGAGAUAUUAUUAUUAUAGUAAGGGGUAUUAUUUCUUUCAUAUUCAUGAAGAGAGCUAUUGUUAUUCCAUUCCUUAUUAUUCUGUUGGAAUAACCUGUAUACGCGGACUAUCGUAUAUAAGGUGAAAUUCUUAUGUUAUUUCAUUCUUUAUUAUUAUGUUGGAAUAUCAUGUCUGUGCGGAUUACGCAUAACCUGGUUCCAUUCUUUAUUAUUCUGUUGGAAUAACCUGUCUUUGCGGUCUAUUGCAUGCCUGGUGAAUUCUGUUGUUAUUUCAUUCUUUAUUACUCUAUUGGAAUAUCCUGUCUGUGCGGAUUACGCAUGACCUGCUUCCAUUCUUUAUUAUUCUGUUGGAAUAUCCUGUCUGUGCGGAUUACGCAUGACCUGGUUCCAUUCUUUAUUAUUCUGUUGGGAAUAAUCUGUCUGUGCGGUCUAUCGCAUGCAUGAUGAAUUCUUCUGUUAUUCCAUUCUUAAUUAUUCUGUUGGAAUAACCUGUCUAUGUGAAUUACCGCAUGCAUGGUGAAUGAUCCUUUGUAUUCAUUCCUUAUUAAAUUGUGGAAAUUAUCUGUCUACGUGGAUUACCGCAUGGCGGGUGAAAAUCCAUUUGCAGUUUUGUAAGUAUUCUGACCCUCAAAAAUUUUGAAAAAAUUUGAAAUGAUAAUUUGAUGAGUUUUCUAGACUGUGUCCAAAAAUGGAGAUUUUUGGUUGUAUAGAUUAGGAGUUAUGAAUUUUAUGGAAAAGACUAUUUUAAAAGUAAACCCUUAUAACUCCUUAUGGUUAACUCCAAAAUUGGUGAAAUUUUUAUUGGGAGUACAUGUAUAUAACAGAAUUAUACCUUGUAAAAUUUCGGAAUUUUUGGACAAAAGUAUAAUUUAUGAUAAAUGUCUAAAUAUUCGGCAGUUUUGGCCAUAUGAAAAAUAGUAAAUAAAUUUUAAAAAUUUCGAGAACAAUAUAUGUUCAAUAUGGGACUAUAUUCUGAUAAAUCCCAGAAAAGAAAUAUUUUUGGGACUGAUUUGGUAUUUUUCAUGAAAAUGAACUAGUUAUGAGUAAAUGAAUUAAAUAUGUUAUGUGAAGUAACAAAAUUGAAAAAUAGGAUUUUAUGGCUUGGGAAUCCUAUAUAGGGUAUAUGCAGAUUUUUGAUGAGGGAUUUGAUCAUUGGUGAUGAAAUCUUAUGAGUAUGGCAUUUUUGAAUGAUUAAAUGCAUUAUUUGGUAAAGUGUAAACAAUUGAAAUAAAUUGUUUAUAAGUUUAAGAAGUGAUUAAAAUAUUGUUAUAAUAUUAAUAAUAUUAGAUUAUGAGUUUAUUAAGUGAUUGAUAAUAUUUGGAUAAAUUUAAAGUCUUUAAUAUUUAUCCUUAUUUUCGUUUGAUUAAUGUUUAUAUCAUUGUCAUAAUCCUCAUGCUUAUAUUGUGAUGAAAGUCAUCUUUGGCUUACGUGGGCUUACGUGCAAAGAUGGACUGUUGAUUAUUGGUUUUAUAGUUGUAUAUCUUUGGCUUAUGUGCAAAGAUGGACCGUUGAUUAUUUGUUUUAUAGUUGUAUAUCUUUGGCUUACAUGCAAAGAUGGACUGAUGAUUAUUGAUUUUAUAGUUGUAUAUCUUUGGCUUACGUGCAUUGAUGGACAGUUGUUGGUAUGAUUAUAAUCAGGGAUUAUUCGGUAUAAUCAUGACCAUUCUUGAAAACACGAAUAUCCUUGGCCCGUAGUGCAUGGAUAAUUCGUGGUCGUAAUACUAAUGAAUAUCAUUGGCCGUAGAGCAGGGAUGAUUCGAUGCUAUGGAUUAAUUAUUAAGCUGAGUUUCAGCGAUAACAUAUUGAUAAUAAACUUUUAAUUCAUAGAAGAUAGUAGAUAUCAUGCUCUACUUGACACUUUUAUAAUACAGUUGUAUGUCUUUGGCCUGUAGAGCAAAGAUGAAUUGUUAAUGAAUAUCUUUGGCUCGUAGUGCAAAGAUGAAUUUAUUAGUAUGAUUAUGAACAAGAAUUAUGAUUUGGUAUAACCAUGAUUUUGAUGUUUCAGGUAAAGACAGGUGAUGAAAAUUAUCUUCGUCCUGGGUGCGAAGAGGAAUUUAGAAUCCCAAUUAUGAUAAUGAGUUAUUCACAUGAUUGUGGACAGGAAUUGUUGAUUGAUGUUACAGGGAUAAAACAUUGUUGGUGGACUUUUAACAUGGAGAAUAUAAUAGACCCUAUGGUCUAUUUGACUCUUCUAAUGGAUUGCUCGUUCCGCUGCAACUAUGGUUAAAAAGUUUUAUCAUGUACCAUAUGUUCUAAAUCUCUGAUUUAUUAUUGAUGAAGGCUAUUGAUAAUUUAAUUAUCUUUAGUCGUGAUAUUCUUUACUGGGCUAGUUGUGCUCACCCUUUUGCUUCACAAUUCCUUUUAGGUAAUAAGAGUGUUGCCGAGUCGAGCGAUGAUAACAGGGGAAUAGAACGGUGGUCUAUAGCUGUUGAGGUUCUCCCUAAAUAGUAUGGAAAUAAUUUUAUUGAGAACUUUAGAUAAGGGUGUCGUAUUGUAUACAUCAUUUGAUAUUUAAUUUUGGUGAAUCGAAUAGGGUGAGGUGAACCCAACUUUGGAAGGGCGUUUUUGCCACUAUCAUACAAGAUGUCUAAUGACAGACGACUUCGUGUUAUCAUAAGACAAGAUUGUGCACAUCCACUUGCUGAGUAUAUCUACGAGCACUACCUAUAUAAUCUUAGAGUUUAUUUGAAAUAUAAUUCUCACUUGGAGACAACGGAGAUAAUUAUAUGUCAAGAGAAGACUCACCAUUGGAAAGAAGAUUAUAGAAAUCUUCUUGUUUUUCUUUGGGGACUAUUGGGUCAACCAAGGAUAAUUCUGUGGACAUAUGAUAUCUAUCAUAACCUAGACGCAUGGCCUCCCAUGUACGAAGGUUUCCUUGAGCACUUCCCAAAGAUUUUAAUUUCUAAAACAGUUUUUGACUAUACUUUUAUGUAAAGUACCAUUGUAAGUUUAUGGUCGAGGCACUAUGAGAGUUAUAUACAUUUGUAUUAAAACUCACAGUUUAACUGUGGUCGUAUUCUGCACGACAGUUCAAUAGUUGUAUAAUGAAGUUUGUAUUUGAUUUUUAUAGUAUGAUAUCUUGCGACUCAGAAUGGGUCGUGUGGACCUAUUUUGGGGGCGUCACAUUCGUGGUCAAACCACGUUGACCGGCAUUGACCGGGAGAUUUUUGGGUAACCCAGAUUUCCCCAGGUCGGUCUGACAGCGAGUUCAUGGGCUUUAAUCUAUUAGUUGUUUAUUGCUUUGUUUAUGUUGUUGUAACAAGAUUGUUGUAUGGUAUAUGGACUAUAGAUUAAGGCUUAUAGAUCACCUAAAUAACAUACGAAUUUGAUUUAAUUGAUGAUCAAACUAGCCUGGACGAUCAUGAUUGAAGUUUUCUAAGUAACCUAGAAAACUUAAGAACACGGUUCUGACAUGGAUUUGACCAGACCUUAUCUGCUUGAUUUGUUGUUAUGAUGAUGUUAUGUAAUAGAUCUGUACACCUACAUGUUGUCUACAAUCUAGGACUUUUAAAUCACUAAACCAUUACAUGAACCACAAGUUGUGGAAGCCCAAAUAUGAACAGUCGAACUGUUGUUCAUUUUUGGGCAAACCCAGAAAUGAAGAACAGCUCUGACAGCCACUUUAGAUGCCCAGAUCUCCUUUGUUAUGUAUUGUGUGAUCAUGAUUGUUGUUAUAACAUGUAGUAUUACAUUAGUUCUACAAACAAUGAUCAAUAGAUAGCCCAGAAAACAUCAUGAUCUGAUCAGCAAUCUUGGUCAAAGUAGGCCACUUGAAAACUGACAUGAAUGUUCUAGGUUUUGCCAAGAACAUGAAGAACACCUAUAGCGACGGUUCUGUCGCUUUAGGCAGCGACACUUUAUUUCUAAAAUUAAUUAUUUUAUUUAAUAAUUAGAGAAAAUUAGUUUUUAAUUAUUUAAAAUACAAAUUUAAUUACUAAAAAUUAUUUUAAAGUCUGAAAAUUAGUUUUUAAUAAUUUUUAAUAUAUUUUAUAAAUAUUUAAUAUUUUUGAAAUAUUAAAGGUAUUUAAUUUAUUUAAUUAUUAUAUUAAAUAAAUUAUUUAAAAAUGAUUUUAAUACUUGAAAAAUUAUUUAAAAUUAUAUUAUGAUAUAAGAAAAUAUUUUAAGUUAUUUUUAAUGACUUUUAAUAUUUUGUGAUAAAUUUUAUUAAUAAAUUAAUAUUAAUGAUAAUUAAGUUAUUUAAUAAACGCAUUAAAUAAAUUAAUUAAAAAUGAUUUUAUUAUAUUAAAAGUCAUUUUAAAUAAUAAUAAGGUAUAUAAAAAUAUUUGAAGUUAUAAAAUAUAACUUUCAAUAUUUAAAGGUAAAUUUCAUUAAUAAUGAUAUUACAAUUAUUUAAUAAUUAUAUUAAAUAACUUCGUUUAAAAAUAAUUUUAAUAUUAUAAAAAUUAUUUCAAAUGAAAUUAAGGUGUUUAAAAAUAUUUGAAGUUAUAAAAUAUAACUUUUAAUAUUUAAAGGAUAAUUUCAUUAAUAAUGACAUUAAUUUAAUAUUAAUGAUAUUAAAUUUAUUUAAUAAUUAUAUUAAAUAAAUAGUUUUAAAAUAAUUUUAUUGAUUUAAAAAUCAUUUAAAAAGGAUAUAAUUGAAUUAAAAAUAUUUUAAGUUAUAAUUAAUGACUUUUAAUAUUUUGAUAAAUAGUACAUUAAUAUUUAAAUAUUAAUGAUAAUUAUUGAAAAAUGAUUUUAAAUGUUUUAAAAAUCAUUUAAGGGUAAUAGCAGUACUUUAAAAAUAUGUUAAGUUAUUAUAAAUAACUUUGAUAUUUUGGCAAUGGUUUCAUUAAUAGUUUAAUAUUAAUUAAAUAUUAAUGAUAAUAAAAUUAUUUAAUAUUUAAAUCAUUUAAUAAUUAUUUCGGUGGUUGAAAAAUCAUGAUAAUUAAUUAAAAAUUAUUAUAAGUCAUUUAAAAAUAAUAUGAUUGAUAUUUAUAGUUAUUGAAUUACAGGAUGGAGUCUUAGACUCGAUAAUUACCCGAUAAAGCCGUCGGUACACCGACAUGUUUCAAAAAUUGAUCUGGACUUAGAUAAUUUGAUUAGAUGCGUGUUUGUUUAUGAUCCAAUGAUUGUUAAACAUGUGUGAUAAUGUGAUUAGGUUAUGUGCUGACUGCAAUAAGCAGUAUUAUGUGUUACAAUAUGUUAUUCUAAUCAGUAAAAUGAUCUUAUUACUGAUAAGUUGCUAUAUAAAAGAUAAAACUAAGUUGCAUAACUGUAAGCAGCAGACCAGGCAAGUAUCCUACCUUUGCAUUUACUUUAUACAAUUGACAUAAAUAAGAAAGUUUUAGAAUUAUAUUAUUAUUAUGCCAGAUUAUUAACCCUAUUGUUAUAUAUAUUAUAUCCGAUCAUUGUUUAUCAGCAUAGUAUUAUAUUAUAAUUCAAAUAUUUUUUCUGUUUGUUAAUUUCUAUAUAUGGUUCUACAAGUGUCCUCACUUGGAUAAUCAUUGUAUUUAAUCACAUGUUGAUACACAUUUAUAAAUUUUCAGUAUGUAUAUGUUAACUUAAAAGCCGUCUAAGCUAAUUGAUUUGGCUAGACACAAACUUAUAGAUUAUUGUUGCACAAGAUAAAAUCUUACUAUUAUCCAACCGAAUUAUUUUGAUUCGGAUUUCCGACUAAGUAUAAACAUCACGUAUAUGGGAAAAUUUUUGUGCGCCAAAGACGGUUAAGAUGAACGAUAAUAUCGUUCUUUCAUGUAGUAUUAAUCAAUACAGGGCAUAAAGGGCUGAUCACCCCCCGUGCCCGUAAGUUAUGACGGUUUGUAGAUGAAGUUCUGUUUAACCUUUUCGAAAAUAAAAAACAAUGUUCAUAGUCUGUCGACUAAUCCCCAGAUAUAGUCAGUACGUAGUUUCAAAAAUUUGAUAUAGAAUUAAUAUAUUAUUAUUGGUUCAGUUUACUUCACAACUAUUGAUUCGUUGUAAAAGUGUCGUACAAAGAAAAUAUUUAAUCCUUUCAGCUAAUAUUUAUAAUUGCUAUUACUUGCUGGGCACUCAAAUACUCAUCCUUGCUUAAUUUAAAAUAUUUUCAGCUAAGUGUGAACAACUAGAAGGCUCGGCUAAGAACAAAAGGAAAGGGAAGGUUGCAGAAUAAGUUGGUGCUAUUUUAUGUAAUAGUGUAACUUUAUUAAGACUAUGAUAUUAUUAUUAUCAUGUAUUAUAAUAAAUGUAUUAAAGGUUACGUACUUGGGUUUAAACUCUGAUAAAUAUGUAAUUUAAGUUUGAUAUCUAUAUUAUUGUUAUUAUUAUUAGUAUUAUUCUACUCAUAGAAAUGGUAUCGUGAAGCACCGAGUUCGGGUUUCAAGUACCUGAAUUUGGGGGCGUCACAGGUAACCCAAAAAAAAGUGAACAUCCUCUAACGAGAUUGUUAAUUCUCCACAGUUUAAAUAAAAAGUAUUAGUCUCCGGCAGCCAUCUCUCGAUAAGGGCAGAUAUAAGUCCAAGGUCAUUUUGGUGUACAACACCUCGAAAACUAAAAACUCCAAACCCACAUUUAUCUAAAAGGAUUUUUUGUUCUUUUAUCAAAUUCCACUGUUUAUAUUUUUGUUCAGUAUAUUGACUCGAGCCUAGUUUUCCCCUAUCUUUCCCAUGAUAUAUGUCUUCUGAUACAUGAUCUUAUUGAUCAUGGAGAACACUUGGAUCAAUUGGCUUAUAUUCCAAGCUGUCCAUCUUUUACCUAAAUACACAACAAUAAUCCAUUAUUAGUAUUAAGAUUUAGAUAAUAAUUUGACUGAUAAUAAUAUUAAUAAUAUUUAUAUAUGAAAUACUAACAAAAAUAGUUUUUCAAACAUACAUGACAAAAACAGUUUAAACAUGCAUGACAAAAUAAUAAGCUGUAACAUGCAUGACAAAAACAAAAAUAAUAAUGAUUAUUUAUAUAAUAAUUUAAUAGUAUAAUAUGCAUGAUAAAAUAAUAAAUAAUAACAUGCAUGAUAAAAACAGCAAUAAUAAUGAUUAUUUAUAUAAUAAUUUAAUAGUAUAACAUGCAUGACAAAAUAAUAAAUAAUAACAUGCAUGACAAAAACAACAAUAAUAAUUACUAUUUAUAUAAUAAUUUAAUAGUAUAACAUGCAUGACAAAAUAAUAAAUAAUAACAUGCAUGACAAAAACAGUUUAAACAUGCAUGACAAAAACAACAAUAAUAAUAAUUAUUUACAUAAUAAUUUAAUAGUAUAACAUGCAUGAAAAAUAAUAAAUAAUAACAUGCAUGACAAAAACAACAAUAAUAAUUACUAUUUAUAUAAUAAUUUAAUAGUAUAACAUGCAUGACAAAAUAAUAUCAAUAACAUGCAUGACAAAAAUAGGAUUAACAUGCAUGACAAAAACUAUUAUUGCAUGUAAUGAGCAAAACAGUAGGUAUCUAGUGUUUGAGUGUAAUGAGUUAUUAUCAUUUAUGUGACGCCCCCAAAUCCGGGUCCCUUCGAACCUCGGACCCGGUCCGCCACGAUACUACUAUUGUCAAACUAUUUAUAUUUUGUAUUCAUAACUUAAUGAAUAUAACUUUACUUAUUACAAUUUAGAAUAUAAAUUCUUUCCAUUUCCAGGAUCUAUGUAAUGACCCCAAACUUUUAUAAGUUUCAAAUCUUGGUCAUUUAUCAUUCUUGUCUUACAUCAUAUUUGAUGUUAUAAAAAUAUGCGGAAUAAUUUAAACUUUUUCAAUCUCCUUUGAAAAUAAAUCUUUUAUUGAUAUCUUAACUUGAAUCAAUUACAAAUCCUUGAAUCAAAUUAUGUUAUGAUUCAUUCUAUUCAAAAUUACUGUAUAAAUCUUUACACCUCGAUUCGAACUCCUCUAUGUAUCUCAUAGUACAACUUAACAUGUAUUACACAUCAUAAACUACUAUCAUGUACAUUUUCUAGAACCUAAACAUGGUUCAAGAGUAUAUAUUUAAACAAAUGAAUUAAUCUCCUUUAAUAUUAUUGAUCUUUAUCAAUCAAGUAGCACGUAAUCUUUACCGUGUGUUCUUAACCUGCAAAAGUGGUUAUUUGCAAGGGUGAGCUCGUCAGCCCAGCAAUUCUAACAGUUUUCAUGCAGCACAUAACAUAUAAUAGCAUAUUCAGUUCAUGCAUUCAUAAUCAAUUAAUAUUUAAUACGCAUGUUACUUCUCACAUAAUAGGCAUAGAUAUUUACUUCACAAGCAUAUCAUCAAAGAUCAACUUUUAACUUUUAUACAUAUCUCAUAUGCAUUUCAUAUAUAUACAUCAACAUUCGCAUAACAUAAUAUAGCUCAACUAACAGUUAUAGAAUUCAUAUAUCAAAUAGGAACUGAAAGACUUGCCUGAUUUGUAGUUUAUUAACUAUGACUUAACUUCUUAACGCUUAUCUGUACUUCGUGUAUUCCUACAUAGUUAUAUAGUCAUGGAUUCAUACUGAUUAGUCAUAUAUUCAUACAUUCUCAAUGUAAUAAUAAUGUUACAUUAUUUCCUAACUAGGUUCGUAAAACCUACACUUCACUUUCUCAUCAUAUUCUUAGAAUAGCUAGGUAUGUAUAGGUAUACCUUAACCACUCAUACUUGAUCACAACAUUCAUAAAUCUAUCACACACUUGACUCACUAUGUGUUCGACACAUUUAAAACUCAUAUACGUACAGAUAAACGUCUAACUUAGUUAUAACUUCAUACCACAUCACCUAUCCUAUAUUUUCAUAACACAAAUCAGAUGGUAAGACAUCACAAAUUCAAACAACGUAUCAUUGUUUUAUAUCUUGAAAACAUUCUUUUGGAUUUAACAUUUGAAAGUCAUAAUUAACAUUCAUCGCUAUCACAUAGCAUGCUUCCUACACAUCACAUAGUAUAUUGGUCACAUAUUAUAAGUUAAAGAAAUCAAAUAAGCAUGCCUCGAACUUCAAAUCAAAAAUAGAACUAUUCAUGACUAUAGGAUGGCGCAGCUGUGCCCUGUCUAGGCUUAGGGAUGACGUAGCUGCGCUGUCCCCUGGCUAGACCAAGGUUGAGCUUUGCACUCCUGGUUUCAGUCUAGACUUUAACACACUAAGACUCUUACACUUCACAUGCAUACAUGCUAGAGGUCUUUAUAUAAGUAUAUGACCACUCUUAAGUUCAUUGUUACAAGUUUUAGUUCACGACUUUCUAUGAAAUUAAAACAUAAAGGUCAUGUAUUCAUCAUGCUUUAUAACUUUGGCCAUAUUUCUACAUAUAGAGGUCUCACAAUCUGUUCAUACAUAUGAUCAUGGUGUUCAUAUUAUUUAUUCAUAACUAGCAUUGUUUAACACUUUGAAACAUGCUUAAAACUCAUGCUUGAUUAAAUUAUCUUUGUACCCAAAACAUGACAUCUUAAAUCUUUAAAAUCUAACUACUCAAACUUAAUGCAACUUGAUUUGAAAACAUUUUCAAGUUCGCCUUUGAAAUCAUUUUAAACUUGAACAAUGCAAUUCAACACAUACAAGACAAAUUUAAAGCUCUUAUCAUAUAUAGUUAAGGCAUGUUAAUAUCUUCACAAGAUCAGAAUGUACAUCAUGUAGUAUUCAUGCAUACUUUCUUUGAUAUAUAUCAUGCUUUUCUUUUAAAACAUUUUCUAACACAAAGCUAAUAAGUUUGAUCAUGACAAGACACUAUAAACUUCAUAUUAUGCUCAUUCACAUCUGAAAUCAAUCAUGUGUAUAACAUACUAAGCUCAGAACUUGUAGAACAUGAGUUUCAACAAAGUUCAUUUUCAAAACAUAAAGUUUUUGUUAUAAAUCUUUCACUAAUCAUGUUGAUCACUUCACAACACAUAAUAAAGCUUUAUAAAACAUGUUAUACCUCAUUUAUAUGUAUAUAAAAGUCAUAGAACCAAGUUUGCAACAAAUUAGCCCAACAAAAAUUAGUAACUGAAUCUGAGUUACGGCGCAGCUGCGCUGCACCCUAGUAUAAAUAGGGCGUAGCCGUGCCAUGCCUGGAACAGAAGCAGUGACCUGCUCUAUUUUGUAGAGCCUUACCCAACUUUGAUUCUUUUCGAUUUAAACAUGUUCCAAUCCAUCAUUUAAGAGUUCAUAUAUGUAAGCAUACCUCCUAAUCACAUCAUAGCAUGUUAAUUCAUAUCAAUUGACAUAGGAUUCUAAAGAAUUUCAAGAAUUUAGCAAAAACCCAACUAAGAACAAAAGUUAAGAUUUUAUACCUCCUGAAGCUUAAUAAUCUUAAUUUCUUCCUUCUGAGAUAUCUAGCCUCUCCUUUGAACAACAACUCACUUAAUCUCAAUUAUCAGAGUUUUAAUGGACAAAAGCAAAUAACAAAAACACUGAGAAAUAAAACUCCUAUUUAUAGAGAAAUGGUGAACUGGCUAAAAGAUUUACACAAAAGAUUGCAUCCAUGGUGUAGAAGAAAAACCCACUGGUUAAUGAAGAGUGGUUCAACUACCAUUUCCUAGCCAUUGGCCUAACAAUCAUCACCUAAGCUUAGCCACUUGGAAGUUACGUAACUUAGCUUCUAGAUCACUGUUCAUGUACCUUUGUGCCACUCAAUUUGGGAUAAGAGAACAAUCUCAGCAACUUAUUAUUCUAAGGCUUGGUUUUGGUUCUUUAAUUCCCAUAAUGUAAUAUUAAGGUACAAUUAUUACCAUAUUAGAAAAAUUAGGGACUAUUUAUAUACUCACAUCAUAUAAUCCAUGUACAUUAGAUACAUGCAAUAAAAUAACACAGUUAGGUAUUAUUGUUUGGGUAGUUUUAUAAUUAACUCUACUACUCACAUAACCAUAUUAUAACCUUAUUUAUGUUUAUUUAAACAUUUAAUUCCUCUCUCAGUUUCUAGAAUACACAGAUAUUUAAUCAUUUAUGUAUUAAAAUUACAUAUGACAUCAUUGCACUACUUGGUACCUUAUAUCAUUAGUCCCAAUUAAAUGUCACACUUCAUGUAUUCUUAGGCCAUAGGUAUUAUAUAUUACUACCGCCCACAUUUUCCAUAUAGUAAUAUUAUUAAUAUUUUAAUUGGGCUAAAUAUCAAUCAGUUGGGUACUUUUAACCCAUUAUCACCUUUUAAUAUCACAAUAAUUAAUUAAUAUUAAUCAUUUAUUUUUUUUUAAUAAUUAUUAUUAUGCACUCCACUAAUUAAUAGAAUAUAGUAUUCCAUAAUAUCACUUAAUUAACCAAUAUUUAUUCCGGGUUAAUUAAUUAAAUCGUUAUUCAAGUCAUGUUUUGCUAACUAAAUUCCUUCAUGAUCACUUAGUCACCAUUUAUGACCAUUAUAUGAGUCUCUAGUCUUCAUUCCUUAAAACAUAAAUUCCACAGCCUUACUCAGAAUUUUCUACAGACCGGUGCAACUGCGCUGGUCAUAGGCUUGUAAAUGGCGCAGCUGCGCCAUACCAAAAUCAGAGGCAAACAAGUUCUGCCUUAGCAGAAAUAAAACCUACGCUUACACAUCCUCCUUAAGCGUUAAUUCGUCUAACAUUAAUCUCCUCUUUGAUUCCACAUCCUUGGUUACUAUUUUCCUUAACAAUUUAAGGAUCACACUUCAAGUUUUAAAACUCUAUUUCACUUAUUAGUUUAACCAACUAUACAUCUCCGUUACGGUUUCUUAUCACCAAUAACACAAAACUCGAAUAUAACACAUACAUACAUUCCUUAAUCCUCACUUCUCGCAGUGUAUCAAUUUACUCAAUAAUUCUCUAACCACCUUAAAGGUAUAUCGAUUUUCUUUUCUCGUCAACAACGUACACGCAUACAAGUCUAAACCUAGCACGCGUCGAGUCUUUAAUAGUAUUCAAUGUAGUACACUGAGUGGUUUCCCACAAACAACCAGCAAAUUAUUUUUUGUCUCGUCUACACUGCUUUCACAAUGAGUUAGAUCGGUUACUAAUUCGUAUAUACCUCCGCUCUCUGAAGAAAUUAUUUAGCCCAACUCCUAUACAUCCACCAUUAAAGGUACGGUUGCACUGCCUUAGACUUGAUACUCACUCGUACAUGUACUCAAGAAAUUGGUGAUUAUCAAAGAUAUUUUAAUGUCACCAACUUACUAUUAUAAAAUAAUUAUUUAAUAUAAAUAGAUAAAUUUUAUCCAUCUUCUUUACUAAUUUAUUUCUACAAUUUAUAAAAAAUAUAUAAUAAUGAUAUAUAUUUAUUAAACACAACAUCACUUAUUACAUAGCUCAUAUUACCCUAUGUAACAAAAUACCACAUACCUCGUAACAUAUUUAUAUAUUCUUGUUUGAACCCAUCUCAUGCUUUAAGAAUUUUAUUUACUAAAUUCUUAUUUUAAUGUUUUCUAAAAAUUCGUGUUCUUACAAUUUAUAUAAUUUAAUAGUGUUAUUUUAUUAUUAUAAGAAAAUAAUAAUAAAAUAAAAACUGUUAAAAACUGAACAAUAACAAUAAUAUAAUAACAAUACCAAUAACAAUAUCAAUAUCUUACCAAUAUUAUUAUUAUUUACAAUGCCAAUAAUAACAAUGUCAAUAAUAAAAACAAUAACAAUAAUAUUAAUAAUAAUAUUAAAUACCAAUAACAAUAUCUUACAAAUAAUUUUGUGUCUUCAAAAUGGGUGUAUGUAAUCCAGCCGGUUCAACUUGUGUCCCAGUUUGCUUCUCUCUCUUCCUCUCUCUAUGAUUUUUCUCUAGCUUUAUGUUACUGAACUUUAGAAAUACUCCUCUCUUACUAGAUGGUUAAAUAAGCUCAAGCACUAGCUGGUACAAGUUCUUUUUUUCGGACAAAAUUUAAAACCAAACUCAGCUUUUUAGUUUUCGAAUGUCAACUUUUCAGCUUUUUACUUUUUCCAUGUUGCAUGUGUUCUUUCCCGAGGUGAUGUGGCAGAAAAAUUAGUCAAAGAGCUAAAGCUAACUGUUCGGGAUUAUUAUUAUUAUUAUUAUUAUUAUUAUUAUUAUUAUUAUUAUUAUUAUUAUUAUAAUACUAAUAAUAAUAAUAUUAAUAAGUAAAGCCGUGACAGCUUAUUUCGGUCUGGCUUAUUAUUAUUAUUAUUAUUAUUAUUAUUAUUAUUAUUAUUAUAAUUUAUAAUAAUAAUAAUAAUAAUAAUAAUAAGUAAAGCCAUGACAGCUUGUUCCGGUCGGGCUUAUUAUAAUUAUAUUAUUAUUAUUAUUAUUAUUAUUAUUAUUAUUAUUAUUUUAUUAAAUUAAGAGUAAUAAUAAUAAUAAUAAAGAGUAAAAAAAUAAUUAAUAAUCCUGGCCGCUACAAGCUGUACCUUUUUACAAUAAAAAAUUAAAAAAAAUUCUGGAAGUGCUCGGCCACUACAAGUUGUACCGGCUUACAAUAAAAAAUUAUAAAAAAUCCUUUUUUGCUCCUUAUCAGAUUCGAACUCGCAACCUCCCACUUCAAACCCGCGUCAUAUGACCACCCGAACACCACGGGCCUAGCUGUUCCUUUCUCGCAAGGAUUAGUCUUUAUAUUAAAACUUUACAUUUCCCCUCAUCCAUAUAUUAUUAUUUUAUUAUUAUUAUUCUAUUAUUAUUAUUAUUAUUAUUAUUAUUUUAUUAUACAAACAAAACCGCUACAUAUUGUAGCGGCUCUUCAACUUUUUAUUAUUUUAUUAUUAUUAUUAUAUUUCUUUUAUUAUUUUAUUAUUAUAAAUAUUAUUAUUUUAUUAUACAAAACAAAACCGCUACAUAUUGUAGCGACUUAUAAUUUUAUUAUUAUUAUUAUUAUUAUUAUUAUUAUUAUUAUUAUUUUAUUAUACUAUCUGUUCAUUUGUUAUUAUUUUAUUAUUAUACUAAAUAUUUUAUUAUAUGUCCUUGAGAGAUAGAUAAUUUUUUGUGUAUACCAACGUGGUCAAACGUAAUAAUGAUAGACUAUCAUGUACACUAUGGGAAUGGGAAAAACUGACAUUGGGAAUGGGUAAAAUAAAUAAAUUUGAUGCAUUGAGCAUUAGCCGCUACAACAUGUAGCGACUGGUCUUUUUACCCUUUUAAUAUUCUUUUGCAAGCUGAUAUUUCCUCAAGUUAUCUUUCUAUCCUUCCUUUCCCACAUCUCCUCCAGUUUGGUUUAUGCUCUCGGAUAUUAAUUUCUCUUUUCACAUCUACACAGAAUUUGUACCAUCUGGUUGCCCAUGCACUUUCACUUCCCAAGUUCAAGUUGAAGUUCUGAUCGAGCAAAAUUCUUCACUAUUAUUCAAAAGUAAGUUUUUCAAAAAAAAGUAUUUUUAUCUACCUCUUAAGAUUGUGUUGCAAGUUUAAAUUGUGAAAAUACAUUUGAGUUUGUCAGUGAAGUUGAAAGUAGUAAAUCUAAAAUUGUUCCGUACGUUGGUCAAUUAUUUUGUAAGUUGGAAGAGGUUGAAAAUUUUUAUAGAUCAUAUGCUCGUAAAAAUGAAUUUGAGAUUAGAAUUGCAACUAGUCAUAAAUAUGCUAAUACGAAUGAUGUAUGAUCUAGGAUGUAUGUAUAUGUAAAAAAGCUGGUACACCAAUUGUUGGAAAGAGUUUACCUGAUGAUGAAGAUGGUAGUAAUAAAAUAACUAGACAGAGAGACUCUAUAGGAUGAACAUUGUGCAAAGCUAGAAUAUAUGUUGUCCACAAUAAGAAAGAAGAUAAUUGGCGUAUUUCUACUGUUGAAUUAGAGCACAAUCAUCACUUAGUGACCCCCACCAAAGUAGAUUUGAUAGAGACACACAGAAAUAUUACUCCUGUUGCAAGAAAAUUAAUUGACACUUUAAAUAAGUCCGAUAUUGGUCGUAGUAAGAUGAUGAAUGUUUUGAGCAUAAUGGGUGGUGGGUUGCAAAAUGUUCCUUUCUCUAAUGUAAAUGUUGAGAAUGUGGUGCGAGAUUUAAGGCGUGAUUCUGCAGAUGAAAAUGAUGCAUAAGCUGCUGUCAAUUAUUUGAAAAAACUUGAAUCUGGAAGUGCAAGUAAAUUUUUUUUCCCCGAGUGAAACCCGGUGAAAACAAUCGCAUAGCUUGUAUUUUGUGGGUUGACGCCCGAUCAAGGUUUAUGUAUCAACAGUUCAGAGAUGUUGUGACAUUUUGAUAGUACAUAACGGACAAAUAAGUAUGGCAUGCCGUUUGUUCCAUUUUUUGGGGUCAACCACCAUUAUCAGUCUAUAUUAUUUGGAUUUGCAUUAUUAAGAGACAAGAUAGAGGACAUUUUCGUUUGGGUAUUAUAGACAUGGCUUGAAGCCAUGGACUACAAGGCACCUACAACCAUCAUCACUGAUCAAGACAGAGCCAUGAGUAAUGCUAUUACUACGGUACUUCCUUCUAGUUAUCAUUUAUUGUGUUCUUGGUAUAUUAGCAAUAAAUUUCCUGAAAAAUUGCAUUAUGUUUAUUCUGAGCACCCAUCAUUCAAAAAUGAUUUUAACAACUGUGUGUAUAAUUCAUUGUCCAUCGAGGAAUUUGAAGAGCGUUGGCAUAUUCUGAUAAGUUCUUAUGAAUUGUAUACCAAUGAAUGGCUUGGAAGUUUGUAUGAUGUAUGACAGAAAUGGAUUCCAGCAUAUACAAAGAGAUAUUUUGCCGCGGGAAUGAUUACCACCGGAAGAAGCGAGAGCAUGAAUAGUUUUUUUGAUGAGUACGUUAAUGCAUCAACAGGUAUGCUAUGUUUUGUACUACAGAGUCAGAAGGCUAUAGAAAAAUAAUUUAUCAAAGAGAGGAAGGUCGACUACAUAACAAAAUAUCGUAAAAGGAUUAUGGUACUCGGUUCAUCUUUAGAAGUUCAUGCUGCAUAAGUGUACACAAAAGAGAUGUUUAUACGUUUCCAAAAUCAAUUCAUCGAUUCCAUGAAAUACAAGGUUCAUAAAUUUAGUGAGUUGUGUGUCACUGAUACUAAGGUUUAUGCAGUGUAUAAUGCAGAUGCAACUGAAAGUGGUGGAAGAUAUAAAGAAGUUGUCAACAAUCGCCAACUAGGAUCGGUAACAUGAAACUGCCAAAUGUUUUCUCACUCUGGUGAAUUAUGCAGGCACAUAUUGAGAUAUAUCAUAACAAAGAGUAUUUCACAAAUACCAAGCAACAUUAUUCUUCAUUGGUGGACAAGAGACGUGGACAAAAGUAAUGGUGAAGACUUACUCUUUAACACCAUAGUUGCUGACUUCGAACAAGAUCAAGCAAUGCGCUAUAAUCAUUUGAUGAGUGAUUACCAGGAGUUAGUGAGUGAAGCGGCUUGCUCAGUUCGAGGUUACAAAACUGUUCUUAAACUGAAUGCACGAGGAAAAGCGUUGGUUGACCAGUAUGAUCCGGAUGAGAAUAUUACUGAAUUGGCAGAUGACGACAUUGAUUGCACGAUUGGAGAUCCAAAUCAUGAUAUGGAAUACGAUAAUGACGAUGAAGAUAUAGAAGUGGAAGCAGAAGAAGAGUUUUUGCCGCCUAUUAUUUCUCAGACAAAGGGCCCCAAAAAACAAUCUAUAUUCAAGAGUGUACUCGAGAAAAUCAUUCCUUCUAAGCGUCAUCGAAAAUGUGCAAUUUGCGGCUUUGAAACUGACCACGAUAAGCGAAAUCACUAUCGAGUGCUAGGGAUUCCUGAGCCAAAAAAAUAGGCAUCGGAUGUAUUAUUUAUGCUAUAUUUUUUUUAUUUUAUGAAAAUGAACAUGUACUCUGUACUAUUCAUGUUAAUGUCAUGUAGUAGUAGUAUUGGUAUAAUCUGUACUUCUAAUAUUGAUAAUCACAUUAUUAUUAAUAUUAUUAUUAUUAUUAUAUUUUGUAAAAUUAAUACAUGAAUAUCAUACUCUCAUACUCAAAUAAUAAUAAUAAUAAUUUAUAUAAUAAUAAUAAUAUUAAUAGUAAUAAUAACAAUAACAACAACAACAACAACAACAAUAAUAAUAAUAAUAAUAAUAAUAAUAAUAAUAAUUAAUAAUAAUAAUAAUUAUUAUUAUAAUACUUAACUACUUUUAUAAAUUAAAAUAAGUAAAAUAAUUUCCUGAAAUGUCCUGAAAAGUUAUGAUCAUUACUUAUUAAACUAAUUGAACUUGAUAUAUUUUCAAACUCAGAACUUAGGAGAAAAUUGAUUUCAUAAUAUUCAAUGGACAUAGUUCAUAAAGGAACAUGACUUCAUAAAAGAAUAUGGCUUAAUUAUUAAUAUUAAUAUAAAAAUAAAUAUUAAGAUUAAUAAAAUAAAUUAUUAUAAUCUUCCAUCAUUUAAAUUCCACUCUACCAAUUUACUACCACUUUCAUAAAUAGAUAUGUCAUUCAUUUCUUAUCAUCGAAACACCAACAUUUUUAAUAAUUUAUAAAAUAAUAUUAAUAAUAAGAAUAAUAAGAAUUGCUGAAUAAUAAUAUUAAACUUAAUAUAAUAAUUAUAUAUAUACAUUUUGGGGGAAAUGUAAUGUUAUUUUAAUAAGACUAAUAAUAAUAAUAAUAAUGCAAGAUGGAAUAUAAUGAUAAUAAUAUAUUUUAUUAAAGACUAAUAUUUAUUUUUAUAUUAACAUUAUUAUUUAUUUUUAUAUUAAUAAUAAUAUUAAAUUAAAAAUUAGAAAAAAUAUUAAAAGGGAUAAUAAUAAUAAUAAUAAUAACAAUUAACUUUUUUCUAUUUUAAUAAACCCACUUUAUUAUUAAUAUUAAUAUAAAAAUAAAUCGUAAUACAAGAGAAAAUGUCUUUUUGGGGGAAAUGUAAAAGUUUUAAUAUAAAGACUAAUCCUUGCGAGAAAUGAACAGCUAGGCCCGUGGUGCUCGGGUAGUCAUAUGACGAGGGUUUGAAGCGGGAGGUUGCGAGUUCGAAUCUGUUUCGGAGCGAAUAGUUUGAAACAAUUAUUUUAAAGGCCAAGGGAAUUUUUUUCAAUUUUUUAUUCCAAGUCGUGACAAGCUGUACCGGCCGACCAUUUUAAAUUUUGAUUUAUUCUCAGCUGCAACAACCUGUACCGGCUGGCCUAUUUUUUAUUUUUAUUUAUGUGAGUUUAAUGUGUUGAGUCAUGACAUAUAAUGGAGAAAUGCGUAAAAAAAUAAUUAAAAAAAAGGCACAGCCGGUUUAAGUUGUACUGGUUGGGACCUUUUUAAUAUUAAAAAUUCAUUUUGUUUAACUAUACUGACAACAUGUUGAGUAUGUGAGGCCUUUAUAUUAAAAUAAAAGCCGGUACAUGUUGUUAUUUAGACACAACAAGCUGUGCCGGCUUGGUAGAAUUAUGUUUCAAUCUCAGCUUUCCAAUAAGUUGAUCUAUGGUCCAAAAAGGGGUUGUUGGCAUAGUGUCCAUGGCAACAGGUUUCCAUGGAUGGAAUCCCUAUAUAUAUAUAUAUAUAUAUAUAUAUAUAUAUAUAUAUAUAUAUAUAUAUAUUGUAACGCCCCAGAAAUUCGAGCAAAUUGUAAAUUAUUUUAUUUGAUUUAAUAAUGAAUAAAAUUAGAUUAUAUGUGAUAAUAAGAUGAAUGUCGUUCUAUAACCUAGAUACGUCGUAACGUCGUAGUAUUUUGGCUACAUGAAUGAAUUAAAGUGUUUGAAUUUCCAAGACGAAAAUAAAACCGUUCCGAGAAAUUUUUUGAAAAAUACUAUUCACACAUUUUUACUCGGGAAUUAUUUUUGAAUUUUCGAGAAACGCGUAAUGAUAGAAUUCUAAGACGAGAUGGAAUAUCCAAUAAUAUUUUAGUUAUGUCAAACACAGUUUUUCGUCUGUGGACUUAAAACUUAUCGGUUAGGGAAAUCGAUUUCCAAGAAGGAAUUGAAAUGCGUAUAGUGAAUUAAAGUAAUGAUCAUAUAAUACGUAGGUAUUAUACGAGGUAAUGAAUACGAGUAUAAUAUGAGAUAUUAUACGAGUAUGUAUGAAUGAUGGUAUGUCGUAUAUUAAUAAGUAUACAAGUUAGAAUACGAGAAUAAAAGCCCAUGUAUAAGUUAAGCUAAAAGCCCAAAGUAAGAACCAUGGGUUAGUGGAUGAUUAAAACCCAUGGGGCAACCCAUGGGUGAUCCAAAGUGAUAAGCAAGUAAAUUUAAUGGCUAAGUAAAGGAUAAGUUAAGUGGUGAGCAAGCAAAUAAUGUGAUGAGCAAGUAAAGUGCUUAUGUGUGAUAAGAAAGUAAAGUGCUUAUAUGUGAUGAGCAAGUAAGGGAUAAGUUGAGUAAUGGCCAAGUAUAUGCGGUGAUCAAGUAAACUUGAUGGUUCAGCUAUGAAUAGUAAGGAGGUGGAUGGCUUAUUGACCAUUAAGCCCUCAAUUAGGAUUUCCUAUAAAUAAGAGAUGCCUUAGUUCAUUUCUUAGUUGUUAGAUUUUUCACCAAUAACUUAUAGCUUAUUGGUUAGAGAUAAAAAGCUACAAAAGCUAGAACAAGUUAGUCUUUGUUAAUUCAAGAAGCAAGAAAAAGAUUAAAGCUUAAUCAAGUGAUUAUCAAGGGUAAGAACCUAAACCAUGAAUCUCUUUCUCUUCAACUGUUAGAGAAGUGAGUAAUGGUAGAACAUGUAUGCUAAGAAGAAGUAGGAAUGAAUAAUCUAAGAACUUAAGUCUUAAUAAGCCAUGAAUAAGUACUUUGUUCAUAGAUAAAUUAUGAACCAAGGAAGAACUUGUAAUAUGUCUACAUAAAUGAAAUUUGUAUGAUUUGAAGAUGAGAGGAUGAUGGUUAGAAGACUUAAAGUAUGAUAAGUCAUGUGAAGUAAAAUCAUAAGUAGUUUAUACUUUUAAUAAGUUAUAAACUCAUGAAGAACAAGUAAUAACUUAUUAUGUAAAUAAGUUAAUGAAAUAUGCAUGUUAAGAUGUUAGUAUGAUGGAAUAAAUCCAUUUGAAAUGAUGAACAAAUCAUAAGUAACGAAGUUAUGCCGGAAUUCACACGAUUAGACGAUAAUCGUCGAAUUCGUGAAAUUCUCGGAAUGGAAGUCAAAUUUUGACAUUAAGUUCAGAAAUGAUGGUUUUCGAUGGAGUAUAGUCUCAUUUGGCAUUAUAGAGUUGCGGACUUGAAAAUGACAAAAUUCUGACUUAGAACGAAGAAACAAGCGUUGAACGUUCAUGAACGUUUAUCGUUUUCGUUAAAAUGAACUAAUAGGUGAAUUUUUAGUUAACAGAUUCGAAAAUGGAAAAUUCUUACAUUAACACGUAAUGUAUGUAAUUUGUGAGCUAAGGGCUUCUAAAUGAGCCAAUUCGGACUUAUAACGAAGAAGUUAUGAGCCCGAAAAGUUCAUUGAAAAAUUUAUCUGCAAAUUUUUCUAGGACUGAGGUCUGGCGCUGCAAAGCCAGACAUAGCUAUAUAGGUCGCGUAGCAGCGCUGGGGCGAAGCGAGUGGCCACUGCAGAGUCGCGCUGCAGCGCCACUCAAAGGUAUAACACUCGCGCCGUAGUGCCAUGAACAGUUUGGCCGGGUACUGGAUGUAAUAACCCGAUAUUUUGUAUAUAAUUAAAUUAAAAAAUUUGCGUAUAAAUUUUUUAUUUAUUUUAAAGGUGAGGAUAUGUACAAGAUAAAGCGUAUGUAUUUAUGUGAUAAAUAAAAAUAUAUUUAUUACAUGAAUAAUUACAAAUAAUUUUAUUUUAGAAUUAUUGUUCAUUAUAAAUUAUAUUCUUAUAAUAAUUAAUUUUAUAGUAGAAAUGUUUUUAUUAAUUAUUUACCAUAAAAAUAUGAUUUUAUAUUAUUUAGAAAUGAUUAUUAGAAAUGAUUAUUUUAUUUUAUUGUAUGAAUUUAUAUUAGAUUAAUUAAGUUAAUUAUUUGAACUUAAUUAAUAAUGUUAUAUAUGUAAGAUAAAUCAGAUAUGGAAUCCAAAUCCUAAUUUUGGAUUUUAAUCAAAGGAUGAGAAUAAUAAUAUAAUAUUAUUUUAUUUCAGUGCUAUAAAUAAGUAUUGUUUAUGUGUGGACUGAUAAUGGUUGGUCAAUUAUGGUGCAUCAUGACCAAACCCUAGCAUUAAUUUGUUUAACACUAUUUUUUAAACUCAAAUGGGAGAUUCACGACUGUGUAGUGAUUGUGUUAUAUGAAUAAUGACAUGUAUUGUAGAAUUUAGUCUUAAUUAGGAAAAACCCUAAUUAUUAUAAACCCUAAUUCAAAAGUCGAUAUAGAAUUAAUAUAUUGUUAUUAUUGUUUCAGCUUACUUUACAACUAUUGAUUCGUUGUAGAAGUGUUGUACAAAGAAAACAUUUAAUCCUUUCAACUACUAUUUAUUUUUGCUAUUACUUGCUGGGCACUCAAAUGCUUAUCCUUGCUUAAUUUAAAUAUUUUCAGCUAAAUGUGAACAACCAGAAGGUUCGGCCAAGAACAAGGGAAAAGGAAAGCAAACAAAAUAAGUGUUAUGGUAUUCUAUGUAAUAGUACGACUUUAUUCAGACAAUGAUAUCUAUUAAUUAUCAUGUAAUGAAUGUGGUAAAGGUUGCAUACUUGGGAUUAGACUCUGAUAUAUGUAAACUAAGUUUGGUAUUUAUAUUAUUAUUAUUAUUAUUAGUAUUAGUAUUAUUUCCGCUCAUAGAAAUGGUAUCGUAAAAUAUUGAGUUCGGGUUUUAAGUACCUGAAUUUGGGGGCGUUACAACAUGGUAUCAGAGCUUUAGGGUUAGAAACAUUAAGUGGGAUAGACCUUAGGCUAUAACCUUGGGACAGAGGGAAACGUUGAAAAUACAAAUAACUCAUAUAGAGUUUAUAAGGAGAUGAAUUGGAUAAAUUCAUCGUUAAACAAAAUAAAAGAUAACUUAUAUAAAACUAUUAUUUGCUGUGUGUAUAUAUUAUAUGCUAAUUAGGAUAAUUUAUGUGUGUAGAUGUUAGAUAGAAAAGGAUUAGGAUACCCUCAGAUCGUAAAGAAGGAGCCAACCUCCAUAACCGAACCAAUCUCAAAGCCAAUAGCUGAAAUAGAGGCUCACAUUGAAAGCAACCCUAAUGAGAUCAUUAUACUGGAAAAUAUAGUAUCGGACCCAGAAACGGUAUUAUAGUAGAUAGGUAAAGUAUAGUUAGAGAGUAUAUGGUCAAGCUCGAGUUCUUAAACUCAUAUAUUUGUGGUGAGUUCUUAAACUCAUAAUGUGUGGUAAGUUUGAAGAACUUGGUAUAGUUAUGUAUGAAUGAAUUAUUUAGGAUAAUGGGAAUAUAUAGAAUACUAAGCAAUUGAUCCUUAGUGAAGGCGUAAGAAAUAAGUAGUAUUAGUAUUACUUGAAUAUGUAUGAUUCUAUGUUGUGUAUAUGAUAGGUAUGUUUGUAUAAGGUAAUAUUCUCCACUUUUGUAUAAGUUGUGGCAGCGAUUCUCGACUUUUAAGUCACAAAGGGAUAGCGGAUGUUUAAAGCAGUAUGUGCUAUGGUAUGUCAAGUGCUAUGAAUAUGAAUCUAUGUUGGAUUACUGAAAUAAUUUGGUAUAAAGAUAGUAAUUAUUUAUCUGAACACUGGUUAAUGCAGUAAACCAAAAUUUUAAAAUCUAAUAUUUUGAAUACAUGAUUAUUUGAGCAGAAAAUUUCGCGUUAUAUGCCAAACGUAUACGAUAAGGCUUAGGAUGUAAGUUAAUAAAGAAUAAUUUAUGAUAAUGCCGCUAAGACGAAAAUGAAACCAAAGAGCAGAAGAAUCUGUCAGCAAUGCUGGAGGACAACCAAACUAGAUACAUAAUUUUUCGAAUAUUGUCGCUCAAGAUAUGCAGAACGGAAUACCAGCCGUGGGAAAGCAGCCAGAUAAUCGAUUAGCGAACUUCAAAGACUUCAAGAUGGUCGUACUGCCAGGAUUUAGAGGAUCAACUGACCCCAUAAAAGCGUUUGUGAUAGCUAGGAUAACAAAGGGGCAAAAGACAGCUUUUGCCACCUAUACGAUAAAAGGGGAGGCGAAUUUUUGGUGGGAGGCAAAUCAAGCAAGAGCCGGAGAAGGGAGUAGUGGUGGUAGGACUGGAAAAAGGAAAGGAGAUAAUUUCGGGAAUACCAAAAUUAGGCCAGAAGAUGAAAAGAAACAGGUUAUGUUGUGUGGGAAUUGCGGAAAGAAUCACUCGAGAGAGUGUCUUAAGAGUAAGUUUGUGUGUUAUAAGUGUGGGCAGAAGGGACAUAUCGCUCCCAACUGCCCCAAUCCUAGGGUAAACAGUGGGUGUUUCAGGUGUGGAUCAAUGGAGCAUAAGGUGAAGGACUGUCUGAAAAGGAGAAUGGAGGCAGGAAGCGUAAAUACAAGGAAAAGUAGCGGGACGCUGGCGACAACAGGACCAACUUCAAUAAAUGAACCAACAGAACAAACCGCAAGAGUCUUCAACAUGACUGUUCAAGAUUCGGUAGCAACCGUGGAUGCACUCUAGGUAUUAUUUGUAUAAAUUUUAUUUUCUUAUAUAUGAUUUUCUUAUAUAUAAUAAAUUAUUUUAUAAAGAAAUUUUGAUGGAGGAAUUUGAGUUCUAUUAAAAAUCAAAUUUCCGUUUAAUCAGAUAGAUAAGCUUUAUGCUGAAUAGUUAAAGAUCAAUUCGAUCAAUUAUGAUCGAGAUCUACAUACAAUGAUUGUGUAUGCUAUGUACCCUUGUAUGUAUAAGUUUUAAAAUGGUGAUUCUGGGGACGGAAUCUUUAUAAGGGACGGUGAAUGUAAUAACCCCAUAUUUUCUAUAUAAUUAAAUCUAAAAUUUUGCAUAUAAUUUUUUUUUUAAUUUUAAAGGUGAGUAUAUGUACUAAAUAUAUAUUUAUUACAUGAAUACUUACAAAUAAUUUUAUUUUAGAAUUAUUGUUCAUUAUAAAGUAUAUUCUUAUAAUAAUUAAUUUUAUAGUAGAAAUGUUUUUAUUAAUUAUUUUCCAUGAAAAUAUUAUUUUAUAUUAUUUAAAUAAUAUAUGAAAUGAUUAUUAGAAAUGAUUAUUUUAUUAUAUUGUAUGAAUUUAUUUUAGAUUAAUUAAGUUAAUUAUUUUAACUUAAUUAAUAAUGUUAUAUAUGUAAGAUAAAUCAGAUAUGGAAUCCAAACCCUAAUUUUGGAUUUUGAUCAAGGAAUGAGAAUAAUAAUAUAAUAUUAUUUUAUUUCAGUGCUAUAAAUAAGUACUGUAUAUGUGUGGACUGAUAACGGUUGGUUAAUUAUGGUGUAUCAUGACCAAACCCUAACAUUAAUUUGUUUAACCUUAUUUUUUAAACUCAAAUGGGAGAUUCACGACUGUGUAGUGAUUGUGUUAUAUGAAUAAUGACAUGUAUUGUAGAAUUUAGUCUUAAUUAGGAAAAACCCUAAUUAUUAUAAACCCUAAUUCGAAAGUCGAUUACGACUUUAAGAAAUUGUUAAGUCGUUAUGUAGUUGUGAUAUGGUGAUAAUGUGUCUAAUGACAGGUAUUAUAUAUUUUUACCCUAAUUAGGGAAAACCCUAAUUAUUAGAAACCUUGAUUAGUAAUUUAAAACCCUAAUUACUAAUAUAAAAAUCCUAAUUUUUAAAUUAGUAACCCUAAUUGCUAAAAGAAAGCCCUAAGUGCUAAAUUAGCAAUCUUAGUUAUAAUUUGUAAAACUUAAACCUAAAUUACAUGUUUUAUAUUAUUAGAAAACCUAAACUAAUUUAGAACCCCAAAUUUGUAAUUUAGGAAACCUAAUUUUUCCAUUUUAGCCCUAAAUGUAAAAUCCUUGAAAACUAAAUUGUUUAACCUUAGGGUUAAACCCUAAGGGGCAAACCCUAAGGAUUGUGACAAGUUACUAUAAAGCCAUUAAAUUUGUAAGCCUAAUGUCCAUAUUUCCCUUUUGUCACAUUUUUAUAAGAUAACUUGUAAAUCUAGCUAACAUAAUGAGUUGGUGACUAACUCUAACCUACCAAUUGACCAAUUUCUCAGCACUUUAGCUAUAUAAUUCAUCAACCAAUACAUUAUAACAUUAUAUAUAUAGAUUAAAGAGAGAGAAAUUACUCACUUUAUUGCUCAUAUGAACCUAGACAUUUUCUCUCUAAAAAUUCGGGACUUAGAGUGAGAGGGAGUGUUAAACUAAACCCUGAUCAGUUCAUAGGCUUCUAUAAACAGAUUCAAGGAUCAGAUUCAAAGGAUCAAAGCCAAUAGAGGUAUAAACCCUAAAUUGUGAAAUCCUUAAACUUUUGUGUUAAUGAUGUUGUUUGUUGGUUAGAAUGGUGUUAUAUGAUGUUAUUAAGUGAUCUGGGUUGGUAAAUGUUAGAUCCAUAACAUCUAUAGGCUCGGAUUUAAUGAUUUACAAAAUCUAGAAAAAUUUUAAAACUGUGGUCUGAUAACGAAUGUCAGAGCCUCUAGAUCUCUCUGUGUUAUGUGUUUAGUGGUGUUUGAUGUUAAAGAUCUGUUCUAUGUUGCAAGGGCUUUGAUCUGAAACUUUAAUCAAGCCCAGAUCAUGUGUAUAUUGCAAGAUAUAAGCGGUCAAAGUACGUUGAUCAUGCAUGAAAACUGGUUUUCUGGGUAACCCAGAAACCCAGAUUUUGUCUGACAGCGUUUUCCAAACCUCUGAUCUUGCUUCUGGUAAUGAGUUAGGACAUGUUGUUGGUUUCAUGUUGUAGUGUAAUAUAAGGACUACAAAAUCAAACCUUUAUAUCACCCACAACAUGCAUAUAAUUAUAGAUAUUUAUGGUCAAAGUAGGUUGACCGAACUGCCUAAUGAAGGUUUCUGGAAAACCUAGAAUCUUCAAGUGCCGAUUUUUCUGACAAGGUUUGACCAGCCUUGAUCGUUCAUUUGUUUUAUUGUUAUGAUGAUCUGAUGAUAUGUUAUUGUUCCUUGUCAUGUACUCUAUAAGUGUGAACCAUUAGAACGAACAUAGAAAGCCCAGAACGAUUGAAUCAGGGCUUGGAAAGUAGGUGCCUCGACUGUUCUUCAUUUCUGGAAAACCCAAAAAAUGAACAGAAAGCAAACAGAACAAGUGUUAUGGUAUUCUAUGUAAUAGUAUGACUUUAUUAAGACAGUGAUAUCUAUUAAUUAUCAUGUAAUGAAUGUAGUAAAGUUGCGUACUUGGGAUUAGACUCUGAUAUAUGUAAAUUAAGUUUGGUAUUUAUAUUAUUGUUAUUAUUAUUAGUAUUAUUUCCACUCAUAGAAAUGGUAUCGUAAAGCAUUGAGUUCGGGUUUCAAGUACCUGAAUUUGGGGGCGUUACACUGAAAAGUGGCGCCGCAGUGCCACUAGUACAAAGGGAUGCCGCCCCGCGGCACGGGCAGUGGAAAGUAUGGGACAGGUAAUUACUGAAGGAACAUGAUAAAAAAACCUUUCCUAAAUCACUUUUAUAGUGAUGACUUAGGAAUUUAAUGUUGUUUAAUGAGUAGUUAAAUGAUGAAAGUAAAGUGUAAGAACGUGAACUGUAUUCAAUAAUGAUGAUAACUAUAACGUUGAGAGUUACAACUAAAAGUUGUUGAGUAAUACGUGAACAUGAACGAUAUGCAAUAAGUGUAGACGAUCGAGUCUCGGAUAGUAACAUAGGAACGGUAGUAAGUUGUGAGGGGAAUGAUUAACUUGAAAAGAGUUGUAUUAAUGAAGUAAAUCCACGUAAGACAUAGAAGAGAAAGAAGUUGGUAAGAACGAUAUAAAUUAUAACGGCAAGCCGGAACCAAUAAUAACAAAUCUAAUCAACAAUUAGAUUGAGAAGAAGGGUAAAAUUCAUUAGGAACCAUGUAUGUUCAUUCAUGACCUAAUAUGAUAUGUUAUGUGGUUAUGUGUUGUAAAAACUGUAAAGACUCAAAGGGAAAGUAAUUUUACUAUAGUAGACGCUGAAAGCAAGUUUUCUUAUCGCUUGUCUAACCUUUGUGUUAGCCAGGUUUUCAGUGAUUCAUGUUAUGAGAUGCAUGAAUUAUUUUAAAGAAAGGGUCGAUGCCAGUUUUACCUCGGCUAGACUAAUCUAAAAAGAUUGAUUGAUUUAUUUACAAGUCUUUCAAUAUUGAAUUGAUAAAGCUAUCCUACGCCAAUUGUUUCAUACGAAUUCAAGGUAAGCUUGAGUAUGAAUAAACAAAUGUAUUUUUUAUUGAUUAUUCGAUGGGCAAGCGAGGUUGCCAAAACUUAAACGUAAAUACGUUUAACGGAUGUAGUGUUGAUCAACAUAGAGUACUAUAGGCUGAUCACCUAGAAGUGCUCGUAAGAAAUGUCGGACUUACGGUCUUAGUACCGAGUUGUCCUUUUCAUGAAUAAAAGCUAAAAAAAAUGUUCAUGGUCUAUGGACCUACUCAGAAUUUCCCAUCUACUAUAUGUUCUUUGGAAUUAUUUUUAUGAGAUGAGAAGUGUUAUUCAAUGUUUUGUAGUACUUCAUAACUAUUGUUCAGUUAUUGAAGAAUAAUCAUAUGAUUCUCGAAGUGGUAUCUUUAUAAUAUAUUGUUAGACUUGCUGAGCUAGUUAUGCUCACUUCUUGCUUGAAUCAUAUGAUUGAAGCUAAGGUCGAGCGAACCGAGGGUUCCAGUAGAGAUAAAGGCAAGGCAAAGAUGAACGACUAGUUUAUUCUGUAAUAGACUAGUAUGUUUGUAUGAAUUAUAUUACAACGAACAAAGAAUGUAACAGUUUCAAAACCUGGGAAUGGGAUGUAUUAUUAUUAAUGUAAUAAGAAUGUCGUUGAUACAUAUAUUUUAAGGUUGUUUCAAUAGAAUGAAUGUACAGUUAUGAGUACCAUGUAGCACCAUCUGUCGGGUUGGAAGAUACUCGAAUUUGGGGGAGUCACACACACACACACACACACACACACACACAUAUAUAUAUAUAUAUAUAUAUAAGACCCCAAAUUUUUUUUUUGUAUAAAUAAAAUUGAAUUUCCUGUAUUCAUUAUCUUGAAAUAUAUAAUAAGGAGUUAAUUUGAUAUAAUGCUUUGGUUAUGGGUGAAAUUUGCAAAUUUUGCAAAAUAAGCAAGUGGUUAUAAAAUAUUCAUUGUUGUCGUGGAAUAUUCGUUUGGUCAUGAAAUAUUCUUACUGUCGGGGAAUAUUCAUACGACGACGCAGCCAUUUGUGGGCCCCAUAAUAGAAUAAUUGUCGGAUGAAGAAAGCGACAAGUUUGAAUUUUUAUAAAUAAUGGCGUAAUUGUUACCAUUAACACUAUUGAAUUUUUUGGUGGUUAAAAUACAAUAAUACGUGUGGUUGCACAGUAUCAUACGGUAUUGCACAAUAUUUUUGAAUUAUUGAUUCUUAUGUAAGAAGGCACUACUCAAUAAUUGUUACAAUAAUUACUGUUUAAUAUUUUAUUUUAUUGAUUCAAUAAUUGUUGCGUUGAUAUUUUAUAUUAUUAUUGUUUUAAUAAUUGUCAUUGCACAGUAUUUCCCAUUAUUAGAUCAAUAAUUCAUAUUAUUUGAAUAAUAUUAUUAUAUAGCAUUAUUGACAAUGUCUAAGGAAGUUCUAUCUAGGAAAGGGGUUUGGUCACCUAAUUGCGCGCUAGUAAAGAGAAAUUCUUAUCGAAAAGCCCCCUCUUUCCUAGGAAUGACCUGGUUGUCAUAAUUGUGAUUCUGUAAUUUUAUUUGUGAAUAAUUAAUUAUUGAUUUAUAUGAUAAGAAAAUAUUUAUUUUAUGUGGAUAUAAAUGAAGGAUGGGGAAAUAUUUAUUUUAUGUGAUUAUAAAUGAAGGAAUUAAUACUGGGGUGUUUUAUUAGUAUUUUGUCAAAAUGAAGAAUGAAAUUUGGAAAUUUUCAGAAAAUUAGUUUAUUACUUGAUUUUGUAAAAUCUAUAACUCUUUGUGUAUAAUGAUUGAGGAGAUGAGCCAUAUAUCAAAAGAAAUCCAUGGAAGUAAGCUAAACGUAGAAAUUUGAAUCACCCAAAAAUUCUUUGUGGAUUUUUCGUGGUGACUGUUUGAGUGAAACUGGUACGAGGGACUUAUAGUCCGAAAAUCAAAUCAGUGUUCUUAAGCUCUUUUGCAUGAGUUAUAAUUUUGAUCUGACCGUUGGAUCAUUGUGAUUUUUGGAUAUGUUAUACAUAUAUAAUUUGAGUAUAUGCCACAAAUUUUGAUCCGUUAAAAAUUAACGUAUGAUUUGUUAUGAAUUUUAAGAGGUGUUGAAAAUCGUCCGUAUAUGAAUUUCGGUCAUUUUUUGUUUGGAAUUUGGAAAAACUUUCUUCUAUAAAGUUGUAGAGAAAUCGAGUUCCUAUGGAAUAGACAUGAGAUUCAAAUUUUUUUGAUAAAAGGGCUAUUUAUUAUGAAUUAUUGAAGUUUCGAAAAUAAAUAUUUUAUUAAAAAUAUAGGUGGGCCCCACUUUUAGUUGUUGGGAAAAGUUGGCUGAUUUUUGUUGAGCCCCACUUAUGGUGGCUGAGUUUUGUUCAAAGGUGGCAUGCAUAGAAGAAAAAAUAAAUAAUAUUUUAUUAAUUUAGUCUUCUUUGACGUUCAAGCAUUUUUUUAUAAAUAGGGUGCUUAGUUAGAAUUGAAAAUCACACUAGAAACAAGUUUUUUCUUUCUCUAUAUUAUUGAGCGUAUUUUGUGAGUAUUUAGAUACUCUGAGAGUUGUUAUUCAGUGCAAGUUUCAUUCAGCUUUACAUCCGAUAUUCCAGUCAGUAAUACUGUUCUUUUGAGAUAAGAGAUGUUAUUUUCUUCAUAAAUGAUAUUAUUUUCUUCAAUAUCAUUAUGUUGAAAUAUUGAUAUGAAUUUUAUUAUGGAAUUUCUACCUUUUUCUGUCGGGGUUACUAUUCACGUAUACGACACUAUUCACGAAUACGGUACUAUUCACGAGUAUUGUUCACGAAGUAUGAUUUUUCUUGUGGAAUUUCUACCUUUUUGUGUCGGGGUUACUAUUCACUUAUACGACACUAUUCAUGUAUACGACACUAUUCACAAAUACGACCCUAUUCACCGAAAAAUAAAAUUUUCUCUUCUUUGUCCCAGAUGUCUAUUAUGGUUACUAUCUUUGAUUGUAUCCAUGUUUUGAUCUUCAUUCUUGAAUUUUACUCCAUUAUGGUUUAUUAUGGAGUAUUUUUAAACUUGAAUUAUCUAAAGUACGAAUCUCUAAUCUUUGUCCUUUUAUCUCACUGGAUUAGUUCUUUAAAAUAUUUUUUAAUCAACCUCAGUCCUUAAUGGUGAUACUUAAUGAAUAUCUUUGGCCUGUAGUGCAAAGAUGAAUGAUUACCUGAUGAAUAUCUUUGGCCCGUAGUGCAAAGAUGAACAGGUGUUGAGAUGAACAUGACCAACUGGUGAUACAAAUGAAUAUCUUUGGCCCAUGGUGCAAAGAUGAAUAUUUGAUUCAAGAUGUAUAUUGAUUGAUGUUACAGGGAUAAAAUAUUGAUGAUGGACUUUUAAAUUCAUAGAUGAUAGUAGAUUUCAUUCUCUACUUAACUCUUCUAAUGAAUUGUUGUUUCCGCUACAGUUGUUGAUCUAAAACUUAUUAUCUAUUAUAUUCUAUCAUAUUUUUCCCUGUUAAAGACUAAGGAUAAUUUGUUGUAUAUCAUCUUAGUCAUAAUAUUCUUUACUAGGCUAGUUGAGCUCACCCUUUUCCUUUUUGUUCCUUUUUUUUCUCAGGAAGCGAGAAUAUAGCAGGAACCCGUCGAGGUAUAUAGUGAUGGUCCUAGACAGUUGUUUUAGCAGUCCUCACCAUUUUUGUAAAAUAGUGCAUCAAUAAUUGUAAUGAGGACGUAUUUGAGUGUGGAUAUUGUCUAGAAGACAAUAUUUGUAUUUAAACUCACAGUUUAUGUGUUGUCGUAUUUUGCACGACAAUUGUAUUAAUAAAGUUAUAGUUUCUUCUGUACCAUGUAUUUGGCGACUCAGAAUGGGUAAUGUAUACCUAUUUUGGGGGCGUCACAGUUGGUAUCAGAGCUUAGGGAUAUGGUCUCUGGCCGAGAUCGGGGAAUAGAACUAGGAGGGGAGAGACAAGUAAAUCCUUCUCUAGUGUGUCCUACCUAAGCUUAUUUGUUGGUCGAUCAUGAUAUAGGGAUAUUAUGUGAUAUGUCAAUUUGUUUAAUUAACCCUUAUUUUAUGGCAGUGUUUAAGGAUGGCAGUAGAGAACGUUAACAAUGGAGUGAAUGAGACCGUGGAGACACCUCUAAUCACCAACCAGGAUAAUGUGAUGUCAGGCGAAGAAGGGAUUGGAGAUAUUCUUGUGGUGGGGGAAAAAAUUAAUAGUUGCACCCGAGCUACUCGCAGAGGUAGCAGCUGAGAGUGAGGAAGAAGAAGAACCUGAGGAAAAUUUAUUAAAAGAAUUUUAUGAUCGAAAUGUUGAAUUGCAUAAUCUUAUUCAUGAGUUAGAAGAGCGGGUUGAAGAACGGCAGGCGGUCGUGGAGUAAAAGGAUGAAACAAUUCAAGCUUGUGUUACCCGAUAUGUGAUGCUUGAACAGAAGCACUCUGUGGCAGAGUAUAAGAUGAUAAAGAUGGAAUCUGAGCUGAAAGAAGAAACAACUGAACGAGUGAGAAUGAGUGAUGCAUGGGUAAAAGUCGCACGGCGCGUUGAUAUUGUGGAAAGAGAUGUCCGAUCUAAGAAGGCUAAAAUAGAUGAUAUGUAUUUCUCUUUUUGGAAAGCAAUUGAGAGAACCCAACAUCGAGUUUUGAAUUACCCUGUACAUUGCGGUCAACCCCAAUUCGAUAUGGAUCGAAGAUUAAUGAUUCAGAUCAUGAAACAGGAGUACGAUGAAGCAGUUGAGGGUGGAAUAUACCCUAUAGCGAAAGUCAAUUCUAACAGUAAUGAUGACACCAAAGGUUGUCCCAGACAAGUCAAAAUCGGUGGUUCAAGUGAGAGCGCCUUUUGUAACUUUCCAAAAAGCGAGUAACCGAACGAAGUUAUCAUGGGUUAGUUAAUCAUAAAUUUUUGCGAAGUCUAUACCCUGUUAGAUACCGGUUCUACCCAUUCUUUUAUUUCUCUUGCUUGUGCUCAAUGUUUGAACUUGACUUCGGAGAAAUAAGACUUUGACUUAUCUAUUGAAACUCUGUUAUGAGAAAAUUUCGUUACAUCUACAGUUUAUAAAUCUUGCUUGAUCCAAGUUGGCACCAUCACAUUACCUGUUGAUCUUAUCUCUUUAAAGAUAUUUACAUUUGAUGUGAUUUUAGGGAUUGAUUGGUUAACCACUCAUCAUGCUAACAUUGAUUGUUUUCGUAAGGUUAUUAGUUUUUAUAUUCCUAACCAACCUAUUAUGCGAAUUCAAGCAACCAAACCACUAAAGUCAAACACUUUCAUAUUAAGCCAUAAAGUCAUUCGUUUAUUAAAAAAUGGAUGUCAAGCUUUCUUAGCCCAUGUCAUGGACUUGAACAAAAAUACGUCAGAUUUGAAUAAUAUUUCUGUUGUUAGUGAAUUUCCUGAUGUAUUUCCUGAAUAAACUUCUUGGCCUACCCCCAGAGUGUGAUAUUUAAUUUUGUAUCGACUUUAAACCCGAUACAAAACCCAUUUCUAAAAUCUCUUAUCGAAUGACUCCUAUUGAACUUCAGGAGUUAAAAACCCAACUAUAGAAGUUGGUACCCGAGUUUCUAUCUGGUGACUUCCUUUGUGGGAUGCACUGAAGCCAGACUCUCCGUAGGGGACGUCAUAUUCGUGCGGUGGUAAACUGAUAGGCGCCAUUGUGACGUGUUAUCCAAGAUUGGGAUAUGAGUCACAGUUGAGAGCAACUUAAGUUAGUAAUCGAAAUACAUAGCUUUCUAGGCUUAGCUGGUUAUUAUCGGAGAUUCGUGAAAGGAUUUUCUCGAAUCGCUACUCCGUUAACUUAGCUGACUCGUAAAGAUACAAAAUUCAGAUGGAACAAGGAAUGUGAGAAGAGCUUCCAAGAACUCAAGAGGAGACUCAUUUUGGCACCUAUUUUGACAAUACCAUCGUGGAAAAGCGAACGUGGUAGCUGACGCGUUGAGUAGAAGAUCAUAUGCGGGUACGAGUGCGAUGUUGUUAACACAAAGACCCAUUUUUUAUAAUUUACAAACGAUAAAGAUAAAAUUAAAGACUCUAGGGACCCACGUGAUGAUGUCAAAUAUUGGAGUAUAACUAACUUUAAUCGAUAAAUUUAAAGUUGCUUAAGCUACAGACCUGGAGCUGAUGAAUAUGAAGAAGAAGAUGCAAGAAGUCAUUAUUCCAAAAGCGAGAAUCGGUGAUGUGAGGAAAGCUCAAACAUUCGAUUUAUUAGUCCAUUUGAAAUUCCCGAUCGAGUAGGAACUGUGGCCUAUAGACUCGCCUUAACGCUAAGUAUAUCGCGUAUUCAUAACGUUUUUCACGUAUCGAUGUUACGUAAAUAUGUGGAUGACCCAAACCAUAUUAUUGAGUUAGAACCAGAUGAGAUAGCUGAAGAUUUAGCGUACGACGAGGUACCUAUCAAGAUCUUGGAUAGGAAAGAGUAUGUCCUACGAACAAAGGUUAUACCACAAGUCAAGGUUUUGUGGAGGAACCAUGUUAUUGAGGAAAUGACCUGGGCAUUGGAAUCGGAUGUGACGCCCCCAAAUCCGGGUAUCUUCCAACCCGACAGAUGGUGCUACACGGUACUCAUAACUGUACAUUUAUUCUAUUGAAAUGACAUCAAAAUGUGUAUAUCAACGACAUUCUUAUUACAUUAAUAAUAUUACAUCCCGUCCCCAGGUUCUAAAACCAACACAUUCUUUGUUCAUCAUUCUAUAAUAUAUAUAACUUACUAGUUUAUUACAAGGUAAACUAAUCGUUCAGCUUCAUCCUGCCUCUAUCCUUGUCAGAUCCCUCGGUUCGUUCGGUCCUAACUGCAUUCAUAUGGUUCAAGAAAGAGUGAGCAUAACAAACUCAGCAAGUACAACAAUUUCUUUUAAAUAACAUGCUUGAAACAUAGGAAUCGUAUAUCUUCAGUAACUGAACAAUAGUUACAAAGUACUACCGAUAAUUCAAAAUAGCACUUCUUUUCAUUCAAAACGUUUUCCAACAAUAAUAUUUUGUAGAAUAUCAACUAAGGCUCAAGACUGUGACCAAUUCAUAAUUUUUUUUAAAAAGGACAACCCGACACUAAGUCCGUAAGUCCGGCAUAGCUUAUGAGCACUUCUGGGUGAUCAGCCCAUAGUACUCUAUGUUGAUCAACACUACAUCCUGUUAAACGUAUGUACGUUUAAGUUUUGGCAACCUCGCGUGCCCAUCGAAUAAUCGAUGAAAAAUACAUUUGUUUAUUCAUACACAGGCUUACCUUGAAUCAGUACCAAACAAUUGGCGUAUGAUAGUGUUAACAAUUCUAUAUUGAAAGACUUGUAAAUAAAUCAAUCAAUCUUCAAGAUUUGCCUAGCCGAGUUAAAACUGGCAUCGACAUUUUCGUAAAACAAUUCAUGCAUCUCAUAACAUGAAUCACAGAAAACUUGGCUAACACGAAGGUUAGACAAGCGUUUAAGAAAAACUUGCCUUCAGCGUCUGCUACAGUAAAAUAACUUUUCCUUUCAGUCUUUACGGUCUCUACAAUACAUAACCACAUAACAUACUACAUUAGGUCAUGAAUGAACAUACAUGGUUCCUAAUGAAUCUUACCCUUCAUCUCAAUCUAAUCAUAUAUUAGAUUUGUUACUAUUGGUUCCGGCUUGCCAUUAUAUUUUACAUUAUUCUUACCAACUUCUUUCUCUUCUAUGUCUUACGUGGAUUUACUUCAUUAAUAGAACUCGUUUCGAGUUAAUCAUCCUUCCUCACGGCUUACUAACAUUCCUACGUUAUUCGAAACUCGAUCGUCAUUUGUUAAGUACACUUUAUUGCAUUCCGUUUACGUUUACGUAAUAUUUAACAACAUUUAGUUAUAACUCUCAACGUUAUAGUCAUUAUCAUUAUUGAAUACAGUUCACGUUCCUUAUACUUUACGUUCGUCGUUUAACUACUCAUUAAACAACAUUAAAUUCCUAAAGUCAUCACUAUAACAGUGAUUUAGGAAAGGUCUUAUCAUGUUCAUUAAGUAAUUACAUAACCCAUACUGGUAUUGCAAACCAUUGGAUUCAUAAUCAACUUGGUCAACAAAUUUCUACAGCCGGCUUAGCACAUUACGUUGUUCUCAUUACGUUCAUCUUCAAUUGAUUAUUAACCUUUAAUCAUCAUACAUUAAGUGUCUAACAAUGCCUUAACAAUGUUAUAUUAACACCUUAGUUCAUUACUAAUGAGUUAUCUUUCAUUCUAUACUUGUAAACAUUCUUGUCUGUCAAAACUCUGGGACUGGCGCCGCGGCGCCACACUUAGCUCUUCAUCUCGCGCCGCGGCGCGAGUUAGCAGUAUGCCCUGACACUGUUACGGCGCUGCGGCGCCACCAUUUGGCCUUGGGUUGGCGCCGCGGCGCCAACUCUGUGCCUUAGAAAAAUUUUGCAGAUUUUAAAUUUUGUGAAAUUCCCGGACGCAUAACUUCUUCGUUAUAAGUCCGAAUUGGCUCGUUCAAAAGCCUACGGUUCACAAAUUACAUACUCUAUGCGUUCAUGCAAGAAUUUUAUCUAUUUGACUUCGUUUGCUAAAAUUUCACCUAUUAGUUCAUUUUUAACGAAAACGAUAAACGUUCGUGAACGUUCAACGCUCGUUUCUUCGUUCUAAGUCGGAAUUCGGUCAUUUUCGAGUCCGCAACUCUAUAAUGCCAAAUAUGACUUGUCUCCAUUGAAAACCAAUGUUUCCAAGCUCAAUAUCAAAAUUCGACUUCCAUUCCGAGAAUUUCACGAAUUCGACGAUUAUCGUCCAAACUCGUAAAUUUCGCCUUAACUUCAUUUCUUAUGAUUUGUUCAUCGUUUCAAAUGGAUUCAAUCCAUCAUACUAACAUCUUGACAUACAUACUUCAUUAACUUAUAAACAUGAUAAGUUAUUACUUGUUCUUUGUGAGUUUAUAACUUAUAAAAGUAUAAACUACUUAUGACUUCCUUUCUCAUGACUUAUUAUAGAUUAAGUCUUUUAACCACCAUUCUUACUUCUUAUUAUCAUACAAUCUUAUUAAAGUACACAUAUGAGUAGUUCAUAUAAACUCUUCAUAAAUUCAUAACUUAAUUAAGUUUGAAUUACUUAUUCAUGACUUAUACGGCUUAAGUCCAUUGAUUAAUCAUUCCUAUCAUUCCUUAGCAUACAUGUUCUACCACUACCCACCUCUCUAACAAUGGAAGAGAAAGAGAUUCAUGGUUUAAGUUCUUACCCUUGAUAAUCACUUGGUUAAUCUUUAAUAUCCUUCUUGCUUCUUGAAUUCACAAAGACUAACUUAUUCUAGCUUUUGUAGCUUUUUCUCUCUAACCAAUAAGCUCUCAACUUGUUGGAUGAAAUGAACAACCACCAAAAUGAAAUCCAAGCUUGCUAUUUAUAGGACUUCCUAAGUUAGGGCAUAAGGGUCAUUAAUUCAACCCACCUCCUUAAUCACCUCCUUACUAUUCAUUACCUAGACAUUAAGUUAACUUGGCCUCCACAACAUCUAUCCAAUACUUGGGCAUCACAUAUACUUAACCAUUAAGUAUACUUGCUAAUCACAUAACUUAGCCUUUAAGUUUGCUUGUUAAUCACCUAGGUUAUCCUUUGCUUGUUGAUCACAACUUUUACUUGUUCACCACACAUAAGCACUUUACUUGCUUAUCACAUUAAUUACUUGCUCAUUACUUUGGAUCACCCAUGGGUUUAAACCAUCCAAUAACCUAUAAGUUCAUACUUUGGGCUUUUAGCUUAACUUAUACUUGGGCUUGCAUUAAUAAUCAUUAGGCUUGUUCAUUAAUUUACAUUGGACUUAACAAUUCCUAUAUUUGGACUUUAACAUUAAUUCGUAUUAGGAUUUAUUAUUAUCCCAAUUAGACAUUACAAUUUCCUACACAAUUCAACAAAUCCAUUACAUUUGGCUUAAAGCCUUAUAACGUAUAAUUUACGUAUUAAUCUCGUAUUCUAACUCGUAUACUUAUUUAAUAUACGACAUUCCAUCAUUCAUACAUACUCGUAUAAUACCUCGUAUUAUACUUAUAUCCAUUACCUCAUAUAAUACUUACGUAUUGUACAAUCCUUGCUUUAAUUCAUUAUACGCAUUUAAAUUCCUUCUCGAAAUUCAUUUUUCCUAAUCGUUAGGUUUUAAGUCCGCAGGCGAAAAACUGCGUUUGCCAUAACUGAAAUAUUAUUAGAUAUUCCAUCUCACCUCGAUAUUCUAUCAUUACGUAUUUCUCGGAAGUUCAAAAAUAAUUCCCGAGUAGAAAUGCGUGAAUAGUGUUUUUCAGAAAAUUUCUCGAAAAGUUUUUAUUUUCGUCUUGGAAAUUCAAACACUUUAAUUCUAUCAUGUAGCCAAAAUACUAUGACGUUCCGAUAUGUCUAGGUCAUAGAACGACCUUCAAUUAGCUUACUCCCAUAAAUAAUGAAUUAAAUUCAUUUAAUUCACAUACUCAAAAUAAAAAUUUAAUUCUCAAAAAUCUAAAUUUUCUGGGGCGUUACAUCGGAAAUGAAAGCAAGGUAUAUUCACCUUUUUGAAAUACCAGAUACAUACGUCGAUUUCGAGGACAAAAUUUCAUAAGGAGGGGAGGUUGGAAGACCCCGAAUUUUUUUUGUAUAAAUAAAAUUGAAUUUCCUCUAUUCAUUAUCUUGAAAUAUAUAAUAAGGAGUCAAUUUGAUAUAAUACUUUGGUUAUGGGUGAAAUGUGCAAAUUUUUCAAAAUAAGCAAGUGGUUAUAAAAUAUUCUUUGUUGUCGGGGAAUAUUCGUUUGGUCAUGGAAUAUUCUUACUGUCGGGGAAUAUUCGUACGAUGGCGCAGCCUUUUGUGGGCCCCAUAACAGAAUAACUGUCGGAUGAAUAAAAUGACAAGUUUGAGUUUUUAUAAAUAACGACGUAAUUGUUACCGUUAACACUGUUGAAUUACCUGGUGGUUAAAAUACAAUAAUACGCGUGGUUGCAUAGUAGCACACGGUAUUGCACAUUUUUUUGAAUUAUUGAUUCUUACGUAAGAAGGCACUACUCAAUAAUUGUUACAGUAAUUACUGUUCAAUAUUUUAUUGAUUCAAUAAUUGCUGCAUUGAUAUUUUAUAUUAUUGUUGUUUUAAUAAUUGUCAUUGCACAGUAUUUCCCAUUAUCAGAUCAAUAAUUCAUAUUAUUUGAAUAAUAUUAUUAGAUAGUAUUAUUGGCAAUGUCUAAGGAAGUUCUGUCUAGGAAAGGGGUUUGGUCACCUAAUUGCGCGCCAGUAAGGAGAAAUCCUUAUCGGAAAGCCCCCUCUUUCCUGGGAACGAUCUGAUUGUCAUAAUUGUGAUUAUGUAAUAUUAAUUGUGAAUAAUUAAUUAUUGAUUUAUAUGAUAAGAAAAUAUUUAUUUUAUGUGGAUAUAAAUGAAGGAUGGGGAAAUAUUUAUUUUAUGUGAUUAUAAAUGAAGGAAUUAAUGUUGGGGUGUUUUAUUAGUAUUUUGUCAAAAUGAAGAAUGAAAAUUUGAAAUUUCUAGAAAAUUAGUUUAUUACUUGAUUUUGUAAAAUCUAUAAGUCUUUGUAUUUAAUGAGUUAGGAGAUGAGCCAUAUAUCAAAAGAAAUCCCUGGAAGUAAGCUAAACGUAGAAAUUUGAAUCACCCAAAAAUUCUUUGUGGAUUUUUCGUGGUGACUGUUUGAGUGAAACUGGUACGAGGGACUUAUAGUCCGAAAAUCAAAUCAGUGUUCUUAAGCUCUAUUGCGUGAGUUAUAAUUUUGAUCCAACCGUUGGAUCGUUGUGAUUUUUAGAUAUGUUAUACAUCUAUAAGUUGAUUAUAUGUCCACAAAUUUUGAACCGUUAAAAAUUAACGUAUGAUUUGUUAUGACUUUCAAGAGGUAUUGAAAAUCGUCCGUAUGUGGAUUUCGAUCAUUUUUCGUUUGGAAUUUGGAAAAACUUUCUACUACAAAGUUGUAGAGAAUUCGAUUUCCUAUGGAAUAGACAUGAGAUUCGAAUUUUUUUGAUAAAAGGGCUAUUUAUUAUGAAUUAUUGAAGUUUCAGAAAUAAAUAUUUUAUUAAAAAUAUGGGUGGGCCCCACUUUUGGGUGUUGGGAAAAGUUGGCUUAUUUUUGGUGGGCCCCACUUAUGGGGGCUGAGUUUUGUUUAAAGGUGGCAUGCGUAGAAGAAGAAAUUUUAUUUCUUUAUUAAUUUAGUCUCCUUUGGCGUUUUAGCAUUUUCCUAUAAAUAUGGUGCUUAGUUAGAACUGAAAAUCACACCAGAAAUAAGCUUUCUCUCUCUCUAUAUAUAUAUAUAUUAUCGAGCGUAUUUUGUGAGUAUUUAGAUACUUUGAGAGUUGCUAUUCAGUGCAAGUUUUCUUCGGCUUUACAUCCGAUAUUCCAGUCAGAAGUACUGUUCUUUUAAGGUAAGGGAUAUUAUUUUCUUCGUAAAUGAUAUUAUUUUCUUCAAUAUCAUUAUGUUGAAAUAUUGAUAUGAAUUUUAUUGUGGAAUUUCUACCUUUUUUGUGUCGAGGUUACUAUUCACGUAUACGAAACUAUUCACGAAUACGGUACUAUUUACGAGUAUUGUUCAUGAAGUAUGAUUUUUCUUGUGGAAUUACUACCUUUUUUGUGUCGGGGUUACUAUUCACUUAUACGACACUAUUCACGUAUACGACACUAUUCACAAAUACAGCACUAUUCACCGAAAAAUAAAAUUUUCUCUUCUUUGUCCCAGAUGUCUAUUAUGGUUACUAUCUUUGAUUGUAUCCAUGUUUUGAUUUUCAUUCUUGAAUUUUACUCCAUUAUGGUUUAUUAUGGAGUAUUUUUAAACUUGAAUUAUCUAAAGUACGAAUCUCUAAUCUUUGUCCUUUUAUCUCACUUGAUUCGUUCUUUAAAAUAUUUUUUCAUCAUCCUCAGUCCUUAAUGGUGAUACUUUAUGAAUAUCUUUGGCCUGUAGUGCAAAGAUGAAUAAUUACCUGAUGAAUAUCUUUGGCUCGUAGUGCAAAAAUGAACAGGUGUUGAGAUGAACAUGACCCACUGGUGAUACAAAUAAAUUUCUUUGGCCCGUAGUGCAAAGAUAAAUAUUUAAGAUGUAUAUUGAUUGAUGUUACAGAGAUAAAAUAUUGAUGAUAGACUUUUAAAUUCAUAGAUGAUAGUAGAUUUCAUUCUCUACUUAACUCUUCUAAUGAAUUAUUGUUUCCGCUGUAGUUGUUGAUCUAAAACUUGUUGUCUAUUAUAUUCUAUCAAAUUUUUUCCUGUUGAAGACUAAGGAUAAUUUGUUGUAUAUUAUCUUUGUCAUAAUAUUCUUUACUGGGCUAGUUGAGCUCACCCUUUUCCUUUUUGUUCCAUUUUUCUUCUCAGGAAGCGGGAAUAUAGCAGGAACCAGUCAGGGUAUAGAGUGAUGGUCCUAGACAGUUGUUUUAGCAGUCCUCACUAUUUUUGUAAAAUAGUGCAUCAAUAAUUGUAAUGAGGACUUAUUUGAGUGUGG